CGAAGGGUACUUGUUUCUGUGGCUGAGAAAGAUUUGUUGAGGGAUAGAGGAUGGUAUUAUCAUGAUGUUCUGGUGAAUAGUGCAUGGAAUGGGCAAGUUGAUAUAAUUGAAGCCAAAGGAGAGGGACAUGUCUUCCAUUUGUAUCCACCUUUUCGUGAAAACGCUUUAACUUUGUUCAAGAGUAUGUUUUCUUUCAUCAAUGGGGACAAGUAAAUGUACACAUAAGUGGUUAAAACAUGGUUUUAAAUGUUUUCAUGCUAAUAAAUAAUUGUGGUUAUUUUUCUUGUUUCGUUUUUAUGGAGUUUUCAUGAUAAGGGUUUUAAAUAUUAUGAAAACAUAUUAACCUCUCUCUAAUUAAGGAAUCUUAGUCCAAUAAUAAUUGACGAUUCAAUGUUAGUCUUCUAAUUGGAAUCGAUAAAAUCGUUGAAUUUGCAUUUGAGUCAUUGUUUUUUUUUUUUUUUGUCAAUCUUUUCAAUAAAUAAUGAAAUUCUAAUCCUAAAAUCAUGAUUCAGUGUUAUUCCUAGUUAAUCUAUUUAUUAUCCUAAACAGAAACACAUAAAGUUAACGUAUUCAAAUUCGAAUCUUAGACAUAUUGUAUUGGUUUUACUAAUACUACGAGUACAAGAAGUUUUGAAGAGUCGAUUAACAAAAUUAUGAAUUUCGGUAUCAGUGUCUUCAUUUACAACAAUUUGAUUAACCGCCGAUUCCACUGAAGUCUAUAAUACAGGUAAUUAUUUGUAGAUAAUUGAUGUUAAUUUCAAAUCAUUUAAGGAUUAGUUACAUUUAGACAAAAUUGCAAAAAUGGUCCCUGUGGUAUGCAAAAUUUUGGGGUUUUAGUCCAAACCACGAGUUUUUUGGAACCAUAGUCCUUUUUGAGUGGUUUCUAUGUGGUUUUGGUCCCUGGACUUAACUCCCGUUAAGUUGGAACUGUUAAGCCCCCUCACGUGCCUCACACGUGAGGGUAAUUUCGUCAUUUCAUAUGUCAGGGACCAUUUUUGCAUAAACGUUUUUUUUGGAUUAAUUGACAUUUACCCCUCAUUUACUUUCCCCAACACUCGUCAACUCCCCAACUCCCUCCUUGCUUCUGCUCCAUUGAACCUGCAAAAAACCCUCGUUGCUUAUCCAAACAAGAUAAUCGACACNCUUAUCUAAACAAGAUAAUCGACACUACACAUAUAAGGGCAUACGUUUAAUAGGAAAUGGUGUUCGUAAUGUGGCAUAUCAGACCAAAACACGAAGUUGUUGAUGUAUCAACUGUAUAUGGUAAGCUGCUCUGUUUUCUUUAACUUUUAUACUUUGCAUUUUCUUAUUGAUUUAGAACAAAAAAAUGCAAAAUUUUAACUUUGUUAAUAUGUAUAAUUUUGAUUUUUAGCUGGUGCACCCACAUGGUUUAGUAUUAAGCUUCAUCACGGUGGGAAAUUUACUAAAUUACCUGAUAUAAAGUACAUUGGAGGUGAAGUGCGUUAUGUUGAUUAUGUGGACAUUGAUGAGUUUUCUGUGCAUGAACUUGAUGCCAUAAUGCUUGACCUAGGUUACCCAGACCCACGGAAUUCUGAAUUCGCUGAUGAAUCCCCAGUUAUAUACUACCAUUUUAGGAUACCCAAUGGUGACUUUCAAUUUGGUCUUAGAGCUUUAGGGAAUGAUCAGGAUGUGAUCAACCUUUCUAAAUAUAUUGCACAUAACAAGCUGAUUGAGGUGUACACAGAGCAUGGAAAGACAAAUUUAUUGACUUACUUCAUGUCACCAAAUGCAAAGGGUAAAGUUGUCAUUGAGGAAUUACCAGAAAAUGAUGAUCAAGGGGCUGAAGUUGAGGGUCAAGUUCAUGCAGAUUCUCCAAUGAAAAAUGUGAACCAUGGUAAUGGUGAGCCUAUUGGUGAGUUCAUGUCUCUGAUUCUUUUUGGGAGUAAGAAUGAUAGUUUCUCACCAGAGUAUAGAAGGGGUAGGGUUGGGAAUUCCAAAAUAGGUGAAAGUUCUUGUAGCAAGAGGCUUAAUUUAGAUUAUAUUGAUGAGGUUGUUCACAUUUCAAAGGAAAAGAAUGAUGAUCAGGAUGGUUCAACUAAUGUUCAGGAGGCAGCAACUUAUGUUCAUAUUAAUGAGAUGGAUGGUGUUAGGGAGGCUGCAAAUGUUGUUCAAGAGACAUCAAUUGUUGAUGAAGAAGGCUACAACACCCCCCUGUUAAUAAUGCUGAUGAACAAUUGAAUGAGUUAUUUGAUAACCUUAUGGAAAAUUUGAUUGGGAGUGAUGAUGAUAAUGCAGAGUAUGAAGGGGAUGGAGAAUCUGAAGAGGGUAAUCAAGAGUAUGAAGAGGAUGAUGAAUCUCAAGAAAGUGAUCCAAAUUUUGAAGAGUAUGAUGAAUCUGAAAAUAGUGAUCCAGAGUAUGAAGAAGAUGAGAGACAAAUAGAAGAUGAAGAUCAUAUGGGUGACAUAAUGGAUGUUGACAACAAUAUACAGGAUGUGGAUGUGGACAUGGGAGACUUCACUCUCAAUGUUGAAAGUGAUGUGGAAGGUUCUUGUAUAAAUGUUGUUCAUGGGCAUGAACCUGAAGAUAUGGAAGUGAUUAACAAUGAGGAAUUUGAAUCUUUGGAUGAAGGAUCCGACCAAGACAGAGAGAGAAGAGCUCUUAUCAAGAAUUUGAGAAAAGAAAAAAGGUGCAGUCUUGGGGUAGUACAUAAACAAUCUUUUUCAGUUGGAGAUAAAUUUAAUAGUAAAAAAGAAUUAAAGGAGGCAAUUGAUCUGCAUGCACUAGAAUCAAGAAGGAAUCUUUUCUUUAAAAAAAAUGACAAUGUAAGGCUUAGGGCACAGUGUAGAGGUGUUGUACCUGUCACCAAUAAAGGCCAAGUGGGUAGUCAAGCUACCACUUCAAAAAGAAAGGGUAAAGAAUUAAAGACACAAAAAGUAACAUGUGGUUGGUACAUUCAUGCAUCUAGGUCAAAUCCUGAAUCCGACUGGUUUAUAAGGACCUUAAACCAAACUCACACAUGUUUGCAAACAAGGAAACUCAGGGCUUGUACUGCUUCUUUAAUCAGCAAGAAAAUCUUUGAUCAAGUUGAGGCGAAUCCAGAUAUACCUUUGAGAGCCAUACAAGAUCACUUUCAAAAGACCUACCAAGUGGGUGUUAGUAUGGACAAGGUGUUCAGGGCAAAGGAUAAGGCAAGAAAGCAUAUAACUGGUGACUACACAAAGCAGUAUGAACUGUUGAGGGACUAUGUUCUCGAACUUCAAGCCACCAACCCAGACACCACAGUGAAAAUAGAUGUAUGUUCUGAGCCUAACCCUGAUUCCCCAACUAGGCAGUUUAGAAGAAUUUAUGUGUGCUUGGGUCCACUGAAAAAAGGGUUCAAGGCAUGCCUUAGGGACUUAUUAGGUUUUGAUGGUGCCUUCAUGAAAGGACCAUUCCCUGGGCAAGUCCUUUCAGCAGUUGGUCUUGAUUCCAAUAAUGGAAUUUACCCAUUAGCAUAUGGGAUUGUUGAGUCUGAAAACACAGAAAGCUGGAAAUGGUUUUUAGAUAACCUUGGGGAUGACUUGGACCUUGGAAGAAACUCAAAUUUUACUUUCAUAAGUGACAGGCAAAAGGUAAAGUUGGAAGUAGUUUUUAUACAUUUGGUCAUUUAAAGUGUGGUUGUAAGUUAAUUCUAAUGAUUGACAAUUAAUUUUUGCAGGGUUUACAUACUGCAGUUGAGCAAAUUUUUCCCAAUGCUGAGCAUAGAUAUUGUAUCAGACAUAUUCAUGACAAUAUGAGGAAAAGAUGGAGGCAAACAGAGUACAGGGACCACUUAUGGAGGUGUGCAUCAGCUACCACCAUUCCUGAGUUUGAACAUUUGAUGAAGGAGUUUAGUCAGUAUGAUAAGGAGGCAUGUGAAUGGUUGAAGCAAAUUCCUCCUAAACAUUGGGCAAGGAGUCAUUUUUCAGGUAAAUCUAUAUAUUCCAAUUUGAUCCUUAUGUCUUUCACUUAGUGAACUGUUUUACUUGUAUGUGAAUUGUAUUAAAUGUUUUUUAAUGGUAAUUUACACACAGGAAGAGCAGUUUCUGAUGUGUUGAUAUCAAACAUGUGUGAAGUGUUUAAUGGGAAGAUAGAGAAAGGAAGGGAUAAACCUGUCAUUGGAUGUUUAGAAUUCAUAAGGGAGUAUCUAAUGAAGAGGAUAUGCAAUGUCAUGAAGGAAAUGAAAAAGGCUAAAGGUCCACUAACACCCACAGCAACAGACAUCCUAACUGCAAGAAAAACAGUUGCUUCACAAUACAUUGCUAGGUGGAAUGGGGGAGACAAGUAUCAAGUCACAGGAGCUUUGCAGGAUCAACAUGUGGUUGAUGUUAGGAACAAAACAUGCACUUGCAGAAAAUGGGAAUUAAUUGGAAUUCCAUGCAGACAUGCAAUUGCAACUCUGAAUGAGAUGAGUAAAGACCCAGAGGCUGAGCUUGACAUUUACAAAUGGGUUCACAAGGUGUAUUUUCUAGAGACAUGGAAAAAGGCUUAUUCUUUUAAGGUGGAGCCAAUUAAGGGUAGAUCCAUGUGGCCCAAAAGUGAAUGUCCCACAAAGCUAAUCCCUCCUCCACAUCGCACUCAGGUGGGAAGGCCUAAGAAAAAGAGAAGACAAAGUGAGGGUGAAAGGUUAAGCAAAAAGCAGAAGGCAAGUCAAGGUGAUGGAGUGAAUGCUGCACAAGAAGGAGGUUCCCAAAAACCAACAAAUGAUGGAGUGCAGAAGCUAUCAAGGAAGCAUAUCAGUGUUACUUGUAGCAAAUGCAAGAACAAGGGACACAACUCUAGGACCUGUAAAGGGCAAGGUGGGAAUCAAUCCAAGAAGUAAUGUGUCAUGCAUGCAUGGAGUUUUUUGUGAUUUUGGUUGGUUAUGAAAACUUGGUUGUUAUAUUUACAAUAUUUUGUUGAAAAUUUUUGGUUGGUUGUUAUGAAAACUUGGUUGUUAUCUUAGGUAUGGUAAUGUGUCCCUUUUGGUAAUGUUUAGAAUCUUUGGUUGUUAUGUUUAGAAACUUUGGUUGUUAUAUUACAAAUCUUAAUGAAAUAUGCAUUUUGGUUAUGUACAAUUGGUUCUAAAUAUAUAUAUUUUGGUAACACAUUCAUACCAUUUCUAUUCAUAUGUUAAUUCUUAUACAUUCAUACCAUUUUGGUAAAACAUUCAUUACACUUGCAUCAUAAAAUUGUACAUAUAUCAUUAUCAUCAUAAGUCACUACAAACUUGAUCACAUAAAAUUACAAAAAAAUGACCAAAACACCCUUCAGAGUAUACCCCUACACAAACCAAAUAUAAAAGAAUACAAUCACAAAGAAAAACCAACUUCCAAACAUGUACAUUUUCAGCUUCAAAUUAUCAUCCUUCAAUGCUCUGACAUUUGCCACCAAAAUGUUGUUCUUGCAUAUCAGUCCAUUGCAUUGAUCCUGUAGCAUGUUCAUACCUCUAACCAACUCAUUGCACCGUUCCUGCACUGAAUUCAAAUUUCUUAGCAGACCAGGUAUGAUGGCUUUAGACCUAGCACACAUUGGGGGAUCAAGCCACCCAAUAAACCCACAAACGGAAUCAUUCAUAGGGCAUGCAAAAAAUCUCCUUCCUGGAUUCAGAGGGGUCCAAGACGUUUUCACCACAACAACUUUUCCACAAAAACAUAACACCAUUUUUGUUGUAGCAGAGCUCAAGAAGAAGAAGGGUAGAAGAAAAGAGACGUUGGGGAAGAAGAUCGCAGGAAGUGGGGGUAUUUAAAAGGAAUUAAUCCAAAAAAACGUUUAUGCAAAAAUGGUCCCUGACAUAUGAAAUGACGAAAUUACCCUCACGUGUGAGGCACGUGAGGGGGCUUAACAGUUCCAACUUAACGGGAGUUAAGUCCAGGGACCAAAACCACAUAGAAACCACUCCAAAAGGACUAUGGUUCCAAAAAAACUCGUGGUUUGGACUAAAACCCCAAAAUUUUGCAUACCACAGGGACCAUUUUUGCAAUUUUGUCGUUACAUUUAUUAACAAUUACCUUUAUUUGAAGUGAUGGUGAUGUUGGAACAAUGAUCAAGGGUCUAUUUCUGGAAACAAUUCAAAACUUUUUUUUAUCCUUGAAACUAUACAAGUUUACAUUUUUGUCUCACUAUUUUAUUAAACCAAGAAAGCCACAUAUUAUCAAUCAAUAAACUCCAUUUUCAUGCCACUUGAUCAAAGAUUAUUUUUUAAAAUUAGAACCAAUUUUUGUCUAGCAUGUAUUUACUAAUUUCGAUCCCCAUGCCCCACACUAAAGUUAUGUCAUCAUUAUAUAAAUAAUCAAAUAAGAGCAAAAUAAGAGAGAGAGAGAGAGAGAGAAUAAACUCCCCUUGGGUAUGUAGUGGCGAGAUUGAAUGAUUGCCAGGGGUUGCUUGUAGAUACAAAGCUUGAAUCUUUUGGAAAAUCUUGUUUGGUUAUGGAACUCAAAACAUAAUUGUUGAUAAUAUCGGGCACUUCGUAGUUAACUUUGGCUGACAUUUUGUUUUGAUAUACAAAAUGUGUGUGGAUCUAGAGCAUAUCUGUGAUGAGUAAUAUUAAUGGUCUAGUCGUGGGUGUAACGUUCCGUUCUUGGUACGCAUCUAAUUUAUUUAAGUAUAUAUUUUGUAAGAGCUACUCGACGAGUUGGUAGCCCUAACUCGUCGAGUAGAUGCCAAUUUAGACGCGGGAUUUAAGUGGUCUACUCGACGAAUCUAAAGCCUUGACUUGAUGAGUAGAUCCGUCAAGAUGAAACCCUAAUCUUUAGGGUUACACCCUGUUUAAACAUCAUAUCAGGCCUCCACCCCAGCCUCCAUCACCUCCACAGCCCACUCUCGAAACCCUAAUCAACCUUGUGUGUUAUUGAGCUAUUUCUUGCCACUUUGAGUGUUAUUUGUGCCUUUUGAAGAUUGUUGAAUGAGAAGAAGAUAGAAGCCUCAAGUGGGAAGGAGUAGAUCCAGGAACUACACUUCAUUAGCUACAUUUUUUGGUAAUCAAGUCUCGAACUUGAUCCUUUUUCUCUUAGAUCUAUUUGUUUCCAUUUUAUGAAGGUUUUGGUUCAAGAACCUUGAUCCUUGGGAUUGGGACGUCUCAAGUGACUUAUAUCUCAGAUCUGGGUUCUAGGAAGGGAUCCAUGGCAUAAAGGUGCAAAUUUUAUGACCAUGGAAGCCCCAUGCAAGCUUGUAUGCAAGAACAUGGCCUGUUUAGCCCUAAAAGACCAUGCAUGAAAGGAAAGCUCGGGACUUUACGUGACCAAUAGACGAUAAAAGCCUAGAUCUAGUAUAUUGUGCCUUGGUUUAGGGUGAUAUGGCUUGUGGAUCAAGAUUUAUGUCUUAAAGAAGUUAGGGUUUGGGUUAAACCCAUUAAGAAGAACUAAGGACAGGUAAAGUUGGAAACUUUACCCUUAAGAGUGUAUUCCUAGUAUAUAGAUGAAGUUUGGAACAUAGAUGUGAAAGGAAGGAGCUUAAUCCAUUGGGAUGGCUCAAUCAGACAGGGAAACUCGGCGAGUCCAAGGAAGGACUCGACGAGUUGAAUCCGGCUGUCUUGAUUAUUAUGACACAAAGAACUCGAUGAGUCUGUCAAGGGACUCGACGAGUUGACUCAGUCGACCACAAGUUUAACCACUACAGAGACUCACCGAGUGGGGAGAUAACUCGACCAGUUAGGUUGACUGGGAGUUAACCUUGACUUCGACUUUGACCAGGACGUUGACUUUGACCAGGGGAAAAAUGGUCAUUUUACCCUAAAGAGGAUUAUCAGAUUUUGAUUAAGUAUUAUUAUGGAAUUGAUAGUCGGAGAGUCGCCAGAGCAGUAGACAGGGAUUCCUCACUCGAGUUUUUAGCAGUCAGUAUUACGAGGUAAGUUUCUUUUGAGUAGGAAUGGGUCGAAAGCACCAAGGUCGGCCCAUAUAUGUGAUAUGUUAGUAGCUGAGUGUGGGUGGGGCUGGAAUCUCCUAGCAGUCGAGUAUGGGUGGGGCCCGAAUCUCAUAGUAAUAUUUGAGUAUAGUUAUGUGAUUGUUUGAUAGAUAUACUUGUUUUAUGUGUGAUACUUAUAUGCAUGUUAGAAGCGGAGUGUGGGUGGGCCUAAAUCUCCUAGAAAUUGGAGUGUGGGCAGGGCCCGAAUCUCCUAGAUAGCGAAGUGUGGGCGGGGUCCGAAUCUCCAUGAGAGUGGGGCAGUGCUCGUAUCUCCUAGUUGUAUGUUAUUUAUAUGGUAUGUGGUAGUUAGCGUACUAAGCUUCGUGCUUACAGUUUUCAGUUUGGUUUCAGGUACUUCAGCUAGCAAAGGGAAGGGCUUGGGAUAAUUGCAUGGCACACACCACAGUCUUCAGCCUGGGAUAUUUUAGACUCUGAUAUUUGAUACAUGUUUUGAUACAUUUUCUGGUUAUGAUGUUUGAGAUACAUGACAUGUGAUUUUAUUAUGAUGUUUUAUGAGUUAUGGGUUUUUCUUUAAUGAUUUUAAAACGAAAUUUUUGGACUGUAGUUCAGAGGUGUUUCAAGUUGAUAUCAGAGCCUUGGUUUGAGGGAUUCAGGCACACUUUCUGGUGUGUCUGAACUCAAACUAAGGAAGUGGUACAAAUUUUUCAAGGAAAAACCAUUUUUAUAAAAGGAUUUUUGAGAAAAGAAAAGAAUUUUAGAAAAAUUUAAAAGAAAAGAACUUUGAAAAGAGAAAAGGGUGUGGUGCAUACAAUCAGCCGAGCUCAAGUAAGUACUCCCAAAUUACCCAUGCAAGUUUAUGUUAUGAUAUGCUUAUCGGUUAUAUGAAAACUACAUGCUAGAUUAGGACUAAGGAUCUAAGAAGUAUGCCUUAUGUGCCUGUUAUAUGUGUAUGAACUAUAUAAGAACUACAUGCUACUACAGAUUAGUCAGUAUGAUAGCCUGAUUAGUAUAUGCUCGGUUAUAUGUACUUAAUGCUUGAAUGUUGCUUGCUUUGUGCUUUUAGGAGUUCUAGCUAUCUUUUACUAACUAGUACAAAUAUGUUAAGUUACAUAUUGUAAGGAUUAAAUAAUUUCAGAAGGUUAGGUCUUGCUUUAUUUCACAGCUCUUGUUUGAGUCCAACCGUUGUAGGGCAGGAUCUCUCAUUCGAUGAAUUAUCUAGUCUGAGUGAUACGUAAUAGUAUUCAAGAGCUAGUUAGGGGAGGAUAGCAGGGAUUUCUUAUGCACCUGAUAACGGAGAGCAGGAUGGUGACUACCCUAGGGCAAGCCUAGGAUGAGAGUAGCGCCUGAAGCACUAGUAGUAGAAGGGAAUUGGUAAUGUCAAGGCACUUCUUGAGGAAAGUACAAAUAAAUGUGGAAGGUAGUAUGGGCCCGUACUAAAGAAAGCAGAGAAUCUGUACUCAAGUCAAGGAAGCCUGAGAUGAAUCCAGGGAACUUGUAGUGUAUGUGAUCCCUCGAGUUCUGUUAGUAUUCCAAUGUUUGAUAUGAUGUGUUUUUCAGAAUGGUGGUUUUACGCCCUAGACCAGCAGUUGGCAGUUCAGGUGAGGGAUUAGGCCUAGGAUCUGGAGAUGAGUAGCUAGACGAGCAUACUAGGGAAUUCAUCUCCUCAGAGAUCACGCGCGGCAUACUAGACCAGACUCCUGUGAUCUUCAGCACGACUAAGGAGGGCAUUGUUGAGCUUUUGGACGAGAGAUCUAAUGUUUUCCGCACUGAGGUAGCGGCCAUGAUGGGGUCGCAUACACUGACCUUUAGGGAGUUCAGAGCUCGUGGAGCUCCCGACUACCAUAGGGCUCGAGACCCCAUUGCGAGCACCAGGUGGUUGGUGAAUGUCACCAAUGCAUUCCACACUAGUAGAUGUCCCGAGGGGGACAAGGUUCGACUUGCGUCCUGUCUUCUGAAGGACAGGGCACGUGACUGGUAGGAGGAGGUCCUACAACCAUUAGUGAUGAUGCAGCUCUUGAUGCUAUGACUUGGGGAGAUUUUUCGGCUAGGUUCAGAGCCAAGUUUGCACCUGUGAUAGAGGUGCAACAACUUGCUAGGGAGUUCUAGGAUUUACAUCAGACUACUGAUAUGGGCAUAUUUAGUUAUAAAAUUCAUGCUAUAUCUUAAUACUUUAUGUUGAUUUUAACUCAUUUAAUGAACAAAAGAUGUUUAAUUAGUCUAUAAUUUCAUUUUUCAGCAACAUUGAAAUGUUCGGAUGAAAAAGGAAGCGGAUUUAGCAAUUGGAAGCUUGGAUCUUGAAUUUAUAAGAAAGAAGGAUGUUACUGGACAACUUUACCCAUCGUCAGUGUUUUGGCCAUAUCUUAUGAACCGUAACUCGGAUUAACGAGAUUCAAAAUGUUCUGAAAACUAGACACAAUUUCGGAUGACUUUCUUGUUUUGAGAAAAUGUUGAUUCUGUCACACCCCAAAACCAAGAAUGGCGGAAUACGUUCUGGGGUGGAGGACGUCAUGUACAGUAUCAUAACAAUUGCAUAAUAGUAAAAACAAGCGACAACAACCAUUGCAUCAAUAUAGUAAUUGUAAAUACAAGCGUGUUCUGUACAGUUUGAUAGACACCAAAAGUAUAAACAAAAAUAAAAGUUGUGUCUUCUAUAAUCUCCAUCUUCUCAAAAGCUGCACCAGUACCUUUCUAUUUUUGACUUGAGAAUACAAGUUAUUUUGAAAACGAGUAUUAGCAUAAAGCUGGUGAGUUCAUAAGAAUUUAGUGUCGUUGCUUGUAUAAAAGUGUUUACAAUCAUGUAAUAUAAAAGCUGUGAUUAAUGUUUGAGAAUAGUAAAAAUCCCUAGAAAAUUCUAUAUUUUCCAGAUUUGAGCAUUCGUAAGUUUGAUCCUUUGAGUGUGUAAAAGUUUUCCCAUUGAAAUUUUCAGUUAUUAAAAUAAGGUAAUAGAUUUCAUUCACAUAAAGUAGAUGAGGAAAGAUAAUAUCUUAUUCCAGUAGUUUUACUGCCGGCUGGCUGUAGUAGUGUUGCAAACUUCAAUUAGUAAUAUAUAUUUAUUCACUUCGGGAAGUUAGCUUAGCCUAUAAUUCUUCAUGUGUUAAUUUGGGUAUGGAUGUGAUCUCUCAUGUAACCAAACUAAGUUAUAAUAGAGAGUCCGAUGACCUUCCCGGUCAUACGUAGUGUAGCGAUGUUUUGUCACCCCUGGGCCUAGUCGGCUCGGACUGUAGUUAGCAGUCAGGAUGUAAUAAUGUUCGUCCUGUAUAGAUCUAUACAUGUAGUGUUGCUUUCCUUCCGGGAAGCUCUGGUUACAUGGUAUUCGCACAGUAGAGUGCCGUAUAGAGGAAUAGUGUGUCGCAUUCUGGAUUAGUGUAUUCACUUGUAUUAUAGUAUAAUUAACUUUAUAGUAUAGUAUAUAGAGUGUUCUCUUUAACAUGUAUUAACUCGUAAUGGUAGUAAUUAUAGUGAGCAUCAUAGUGAUAGGGGUAAUGAGCAGUAGUCUUAACUAUACCUAUUAUAGUUAAAUAGAGUGUGGGAUUGCAUGCCUUCAGUUUACAAACGUAUUGAAUAAGGUGAAGACUUUCAUAUCCAACACAAAUAUAUAUGAUAUAUAAGUAAGAAUUCAACGACAGUCAGACAGAUAACAGUAUAUCCUAAGACCACAAUCAAACAAGAACAUGAAGUAAGGCAAGCUAUCAAUCCUAAGUCCUUCAAGUCUUACUUAUAUAAAUAUAUUGGUGUAGAUAUAGUUUAAAAGAAAAGUAGUUUAAAAAACAGUUUGAAAAUAGUUUAAUAACAAUUUAACAUGGAAAAAUGCAUUUGAUAAUUAUUUAAAACAGUUUUGUUGACAAGUAGCUAAAAGUAUAGAAAAUCCUUUUUGAUUGCAAGUUAUAAAUCACAUGUGAUUUGAUACUAUAACUUGUAUUUAACUUGUAUUCCCCCCACCCCCCCCCAUAAAACAUUUAAAAACCUUUAAAAGGUUAAUUAAGGGGUAUGAACUUACCNNNNNNNNNNNNNNNNNNNNNNNNNNNNNNNNNNNNNNNNGAUCGGGUGGAAGUGUCGGUUGAGUGUUUGGUGUCAAGUGAAGACUUGAACACACUUUAUGACCCUAGUAACAUAUGAAGACAUAUGUUUACAUAUAAUUAGUGAUUAAAACACUAAUUAAACACGUAUAGACAUCCUAAUGCAAAGAAAAACUCUUUGGUCAAGUGCUAGGAGGCUAUUGGGUUGCAAGGAAAGAUUGUAAGGCCUCACUAUGGAGUUUACUCCUCAAAUACUCACCUUAGGUGAGUUUGCGGUUGAGGGACCAAUUCCCCCAUGGGUUUACGACCGUAAACUCAUGGGAGGAGUGUAUUUGAGUGCUUAAGGGUCUCUUACAUCACUAGGAAGGGUUCUAAGUUUAAAUCCAUGGCUUGAGGAGUGAUUAGGGUUCAAAAGGGGCACUCCCUUGGAGUUUGCGGUCCUUGGACCACUCCUUGGGAGUUUACGGUCGUAAACACUAUGGUUUACGGCCGUAAACCCUUAGACACACCUUUUCCUUCGUUUUUGAGGUCCUUAGCUCACUCCUACAAGUUUCUAAGUCAAGGUCCAAGGCUAAAUAGGGAGUUUAGGGCUCAAUUUGCAUCAUUUGAGGGAGUUUACGGCCUAAGAAUGCUCAUGGGCCGUAAAACCUCAUUCAAGCCUCCAAACUUAAUGUUUAAUGUCUAAAACACUUCAAGGGUAAGUUCUAAGUUAGUCUCUAAGCCUAAGGAAGGGAUUUGGGGGCAAUUGACACCCUUUUAGGGGUUUACGGCCUAAGAGGGUUCUUGGUCAAUAAACUCCUUGUUCUUGACCUUCUUGGAUAAUUUUCAUGCUAUAUAGACAUGUAAUGAGCUUUAGAACAAUCUAGGGUAAGAGAACUUAUAGUUUGGGGGCGAAAAAUUGCAGAUUUUUGGAAGAAUCGGGCCUUGAAGGGAGAGAGUAGAGAGAGAGUGUGUGACUAGAGUGGGAAAAGUUCCAUUUAGUGCCCACUCAACCCUUAUAUAGGGGUUGAGUUUGUGACCAGGUGGGAAUCUACCCGAUACCGACAUUAAACGGGGCUUAUGGUCGUACCCGAUUAAAUGGUGGUAAUUUGACUUGUUUGUAACUAAAACUUUUUAAGGGAAUGUUGAGGUUGUUUCACGUGUUUCUAAUUUGUUCUGACCCUUAUGAAGUCAUAUUAAAAGUUCUAAUUUAAUUUGCCUGAUCCCAAAUGUUAACAGAAAAGUUUAAUAAGAACGAGUUCUAUUAACGGAAACGGGUUACGGUGACAGAAUAAAUUUCAGGUUGUCACAUCAUCCCCCCCGUUAGAGGAAAUUUCUUCCCGAAAUUUAGAAUUCAACUAGCUAAGUUAUUACAAUACAUCUAAGCAAAGAGAUGAUGAUAUUUGAGUCUCAUUUGGUCCUCGCGCUCCCAAGUGAAAUCCGGUCCUCGUUUGGCGUUCCAUCGAACCUUCACAAUUGGGAUGCGGCUUAGUUUCGUUCAUUUGACGUCCCGAUCCAUAAUUUCCACAGGUUCUUCCACGAUGUUGAGGCUCUCGUUAAUCUCGAUCUCGUCUAGUGGGAUUACGAGGGUCUCGUCGGAUAGGCACUUUUUCAAGUUUGAGACGUGGAAGGUAGAAUGUAUGUUACUGAGUUCGUGGGGUAGAUUAAGUUUGUAAGCCACGGGGCCGAUUCUAGCGAGAAUCUUGAAAGGCCCUAUGUAUCUUGGAUUCAGUUUUCCAUGCUUUCCAAAGCGUGUCGUGCCCUUCCAGGGAGAGACUUUCAAAAGGACUCGGUCUCCCACCUGGAAUUCCAAGGGUUUUCUUCAUUUGUCUGCGUAGCUUUUCUGUCGAUCUCUAGCGGCUUUUAGUCGUUCGCAUAUCUGUAUGAUCUUCUCGGUCGGUUCUCGAAUGAUCUUCGGACCCAUGAGAGCGCUGUCAGGAACGCGUCCUUUAGCUAACUGAGUGUCACCCACCUCAGCCCAGCAUAGAGGGGAUCUGCACCUCCGGCUGUAGAGGGCUUCGAAUGGAGCUGCCUUGAUGCUCGUGUGAUGACUGUUGUUGUAGGAAAGGUCGACAAGGGGUAAGUGGGUAUCCCAUGCCUUACCAAAUUCGAUCACAUAGGAUCGCAACAUAUCUUCCAGGGUUUGGAUAGUCCUCUCACUUUGUCCGUCGGUCUACGGAUGGUAGGCUGUACUCAUGUCCAACCUCGUCCCUAAUGCGUUUUGCAGUGAUUACCAGAACCUCGAAGUAAACCUACUAUCUCUAUCGGAGAUGAUAGACAUAGGGACACCAUGCAGUCGUACGAUCUCCUUAAUGUAUGUUCUCGUGAGUUUCUCCAUCUUGUCUGUUUCCUUGAUGAGCAGGAAGUGUGCGGACUUGGUCAAUCUGUCGACGAUGACCCAUAUGGUAUCAAGCCCACCCGCUGUGGUAGGUAGCUUAGUUAUGAAAUCCAUAGUGAUCCGCUCCCACUUCCACUCCGGUAUCUCCGAGUGCUGUAGAAGACCUGAUGGCUUCUGGUAUUCGACCUUGACCUUUGCGCAAGUAAGGCAUUUACUUAAGAAGGUAGCAAUCUCUGCUUUCAUGUUAGGCCACCAGUAUGACUUUUUAAGAUCUAGAUACAUCUUAUCUGAUCCUGGGUCAACGGAGUAUCGAGUGUUAUGGGCUUCCUUCAUGACCAAGUCUUUGAAGCCACCGUGUCGCAGUGUCUAGAUUUGGUCCAUGAGAUAUAAGGCUCUGUCACCCUUGACUUCCAAGUUCUUUACCAUUCCUCGCAGGGAUUCUCCCGCCACAUUUUCAGGCUUUAACGCUUCGAGUUGAGCUUCCUUAAUCUGUGCGGAGAGAUGCGAAUGGAUGGUCAUUGUUAGCGACUUGACUCUUCGACCAGAAUGUUCUUUCCAGCUUAGGGCGUCUGCUACUACAUUGGCUUUACCCGGAUGAUAAUGAAUUUCGCAUUUGUAAUCAUUGAGUAGCUCGACGCACCGUCGUUGUCUCAUAUUGAGCUCUUUCUGGUUGAAUAUGUGUUGUAGGAUUUUGUGGUCGGUGUAUAUCGUGCUCUUCAUACCGUACAGGUAAUUGAUGGGUUUUAGCAAAAGAACAUCCUAUAUGCUCAUGCAAACCCUAAUGCUUGGAUCUAGGUUUCUCUAUUGUACAUGCAAUGUAUCAAAGACUUACAAUCUUAGAUCUAACAUAUUAUAAACUGAAAUUAGGGUUUAGAGAAUUACCUUUGAUUGUUAUGUAUCAAUAACAAUCUCAAAUCCUCCUUGUAAUGGCUUUAGAAAGUUUAGAGUCACAAUUGUCACUCCUCUAAUGGCUUACAAACACCAAGAGCAAGAGGAUGAAGAAUAAGGAGAGAGGAGGCUGACCAAAACGUCCAGAAAACCCUUGUGGAACUCUUAGCCACACAUUUUGAGGCUUAAGGGUACUAUAUAUACAUGUAGGCUAUUAGGGUUUUCAACUAGGAAACCCUAAUUUGAUUGCUUAAGCCCUAAGCAGCCCAUGGACCCUAUUAGAAUGUCCCUUGGACGAUUUCUAAUGGUUUCCCCAUAGAAUUCGUCCAACCUAUUACUCCAAGGUGAUCCAUAGCCCAAAUGCAAUUAUCUUAUAAUUACAGUUCCAGUCCCUUAAGUUUAAUUAAUAUCUUUUAGCCACAAAAUUAAUUAUCAAUUAAUUCUUAACUAAUAUUAAUUAAACAAUAUGAUUUCUCCUUUAAUAUAUUAUUCUCAUAAUAUAUUAAUAAAUCAUAAUUAAUCCUUUCUCUCCAUAAUUCAUCCUAUCAAGUUGCUUUGGUAAAGGCAACCCAAAAGGACCAUGCACCAUCGGGUCAAGUACAUACCAAAAUAGUUAUGGACUUAGACACUAAUCCAACAGUCUCCCACUUGGAUAAGUCUAAUAACUAUUCUGCGUAUGACUUCAGAUCCUGAUCUUCAAUCGUAGCUUUCCAAAGCCGCUGUCAACUCUGAUCCUAUCAGAUACGCGUGUCCUUAGAUAAGGGAUCAUAUAUUCCUCCAUUCUAGAUAUCAUAUGAGAUAUGAUUUCAAAUCAUUCUCUUUGUACUAUAUCUCGAUUCCCGAUUUAUGACGACUGACUAAUUGAACAAAUCAAAUUAGCCCUAGCCCGGCCGAGCAUUUACGUUUGUCAUCACUAAAUCAUCGAGGGGCCCAAAGAUAUCGCUUUUAUCCUACUUUGGAUAAAAGGAACGGAUAAACUUUGAUACAAUGCUUGCUUGCACUCACUCACCGAAUCACACACAACAAUAUGUUUUAUAACACCAAGUUACUAGUGCGUUUACAUAUUAUCAAUGUGCAACCGAUUUGCAAGAUACAACUCACACAUCUCGGUUUCAAGAAUAUAAGAUAUUAUCAUCUCACUAGUCGCUCGUGAUAAAAUCCAUGAAGUGAUCCAAGUGAUUCUGGGUUUAUCCAAUGCUUCAAAUCAUAUUCAUAAGCACUCAUGAACGUUGCAGCAAACAUUUGCUUAUGUCUAAUACACUUUAGACAAUCCACACACCAAUUCACGACAGUCUUCAUUCAUACCUACUUCCAACAUAUGAACGACUGUGGUCCGUUCGAAUAAUUUGAUUGUUCUGAACCAAUUUAAUUAUUCAGGAAGUCAAAACAUGCAAAGUGAAACACAAGAAUAAUACUAAUCACAUAUGGCCCCAAACUCUGGGUAUAAAAAAACAUUUUAUUUAAUCACCAUAUUGAUUACUCAUUAUUUGUUGUUUCGGGUAAUCAACUUCUUACUAGAAUUAAUACUACACUUGUCCCAUGCUCUCAGCAUGCACACAAUGCUUACUUAUGGUCCUUACUUUGUGAAAUAGAUCAAAUGAACACAUUUCCAAUCAUACUCAUUUCACAACUCCCAAUCCUUAUCAUAAGUAUAAGAAUAUCAAAUUCUUGUUACUUAUGCUAGAUUCUAACAUUUUAUGCAAUGAUUCUUUCGUAAAGUCAUAGCUCAAAAUCAUCAAGACUUGGCCAAUCUCUAUCAGAAACAAUUCUAUAGAUAUGAUGUCUCUCACUCAAAGUACAUUCCUUUGAACAUCCUUCUUGCAUAAAAGUUUCUAAUCUAGACAUAGAUUCUCAAUAUCCAACUCCUAAUAUGGAAACAUUUCCAUAUUUUCCAUAUGACAAUUCAUUCUUAAUAGAAUCUUAUAUAUUCAUAAUAAUGUCAUCCAAUACCAUACUUCCAACUACUUACAAGCGACCAAUCCUUAGCGAGCUUUGGAUCGUCCUUUUAUACUUCNUGUUUAAUUAUUUUAGUCAAAACCGAUUAUAGUCCUUUCUCCCUCUAAAUGCACUAGACAUUUGGAAAAUUUUAGAAUUGUCAAAUAUAAUAGCACUGGCAAUCAAUCCUAUACCCGGAGCGUAUAGGACACGAUGCAUAAUGUCUUACAUAAAGAUAUGAUACUUUAUCAAUCUUCUGCCAUAAUAUUUUAUGUGUCUCGUUCUUACAAUUCAAACUAUUAAGAGGGAUACCGUAAUCAUAAUCAAAAUUUAAGAACACAUUAUGUAUCCUUUGACUAAUUAUAUUAAGAUUUCUCAAUCUAAGCUUUAGAUUUUGAAACGAAGUACAAUAUUCUCUCCCUUAAUUAUAGCAAAACAAUUUUUCAACCGUUACGACUUUGCAAAGUAUAAGUCUUGUUUUCUAUAAUUAAUAUUGCUAACUUGCAAUACUUGACUUAAUAAUCAUACAAGCACAACAUUUAUGCUCCCACUAUCAUGAUGAUUAUUAUCAUAUAAGCAUAACACUUAUGCUCCCACUAGCUUUGACAUGUUUUAGAAAACAACUGAACUUCCAGAAAACAAUACUUAUUGAAUUUCUGAAGUUCAUAUUUCUAAUACCUAAUGCUUUGAUAAUCCUUUAUCUAAGCUUCUUAAACUUAUACACCUUUGCCUUAGAUAGCUCAUAUGUGUGUCUAAACAAUUCAGACUAAUUGCCAAAUCUCACAAUUCGAAUUAUGGAAAGGGAUACCGUAACCAUAAUCGAAUUUGAGAAUACAAUUUUCACAAUCACUAUCUUCUUAAAAUCUCUCUUAGUGAAAGUAUUUCCUCACAGUCAUUUUCAUGAAGGAGAGAAUCUUAUGAUACUUAGAUUUUAAUGGUGUAUGUGUUCCUAUCCAUGCGAAUUUGUCAAAACCAAGGUUUGCGACAAAUCCAAACUCAUAUGGACGGAACUUUCUCAAUCUUGAUUUCUUCCCUUAUGGUAACACGAGUUCCCACCAUGUCUUCUAAGUAGUUAAGCAGCUCACCCUUUCCUAUCAAUGUACUUUCAUUGAUCAAGGUGCUUGCCUUUUACGUGUUCAAAUGAGAACUCAUAGACCUCACAUGCAUAAUUAACUCAAUUGGAAUGACAUAGAAAAAAAAUAGUGUCAACACGAUGGGUUGUAAACCUCAAGUCGUGUGCUAGCGAUGAUCGAUAAGGUUUAUUCUUGAUUUGCUCUUGAAACCUUUCAAGACCAUUGAGACUCCCAAUGACUCCUAGACAUAUAAGAUUCUCUUGUCAAGAAACAUUCCUUGACAAAACAAAUAUUCAAGAGUUAGUGUAGUUCUUAUCAAAACACUUCACAUAAUUGAUCCUAGUUGGUCUUUGUCUUAUCCAAAACAUCACAACUUUUCAAUUUUAAAUGUACAAGAAUAAGAAAACCUUUUCAAAUUCCACAUUUGAUGAAUGUUAUAAACCUUCUUAAGACUUGUCACUCAAUUCACAAUCUUAACUCUAAGACUUGUUUUUGGAACGAGGUAUGAUUGACUUCUUGAUUUAACCAUUUCUUCAAUUCUUGAUUCCUCUUCUCAGACAUACAAUUGCACUAAGACUCAUUUUUAGAGGAUCAAUUGAGAUAUGAUUCUUAGUCAUUAAGACCUAUCAUAAAACAUAAUAAAAGGUACUCUCCCUUCUUCUUAGAAUAGAUAAACUUUUAUCUUUCUGCCUAUUGGAUUCUUCUUUAUUCGUUCUGCUAUUUGUUGAAACUCUUUCAAUCAACUGAGAAUUACACUUAAUAUCAUAAGUAUAAUCAACUUAACCUUNUGUUACUCUUGUGGUGGACUUGAUCAACACACAACCUUGUGUACUCGAUCUCCUAGUCCUUCACUUGACACUUUGUCAACAAAUUAGUCUAAUUUCCAAAUAUGAAAUUUCUCAUACAUCAUGCAACCAGGUUGUAUGAAUCCAAGUUUCUGUCCAAUUGAAACUUGGGCGAUGAGAAACUUUUCCUAUUUGGUAAAUUCUUGACUUUUCCAUAACAUAAUUAAGAAUCAAAUCCAUUAUUUCUAAUAAUAGAAACCUUCAAACAUCAAUUUUUAUACACGCCAUUGCAAGGAUAAAUAAAUAAUAUAAAAUCAAAAUUUAUUUUAUUGCGGAAAAUUUGUCCUUACAAUGCAAUUCAAUUGAAAAACUAUGUUAAUACAUAUUUCUUAGAAAUAUUAUUCUAACUCCAAGUAGUAUCUCAAGAUUCUAAUCUUCAAGUAACGCGAUCGAAAUCCAUUUCUUCACGAUUAGAUUCCGCUCACUACUUCCUUUAAGCUUCCUCUCUUUUCUUCGAUCCUACAAAACAUCGAAAUGUAAUCUUAUCACAUCAUGUAUUAAGAAUCUAGAAUAGGAACUUAAAAGAGUUAGUUAAUGGAUUUUACCUAAAGUAGAGUCAUACGUUUUGACUCUCCCAUCUCUUAGAUCUCUUAGGUAAAUAGGGCAGCUUCGUCUCCAAUGCUCAUUCUCUCGGCAAUAAAAGCAAAUUGACUCUUUUGGAACAGCACAUGGAACUACUUCUGACUUUGCCUUUCUCUUAUGAUCAAACUUUUCGAUCAUGGCAUGCCUUUCGUUUCCAUUGCCUAUAUCCAUAGAGGUUUGGAAGGCAGAUCCACCAAUCAACUUUUCUUUUCCAGUCCGCCAAAUCAUUGCUGAUUCAGCAGCAAUAAGCAUAUAGGUGAGAUUAAUGAGGGUUACGUCGUGGUUCAUCAUAUAAUACUCUCUUAUGAACUCACUAUAUGAGUCAGGAAGUGACUGAAGAACCCAACCACCAGCCAGCUCCUCACAGACAAAAGAUCCUAACAUUCUUAACCUAUCAAUGUGUGACUUCAUCUCUAGGACGUAUGCACACACUAACUUUCCUUCUACAUGUUUACUUGCCAAAAAGAGCUUGAGUGAGUUUGAACUUUUCAAUCUUUUGAACUUGUGGGUUAGGGAGAAUAAUAGGAGGAGGUGGAGGAAGUGAAGCAUGAUCUCGUGUUCCUCGAUCAAAUCAUGGAAUAUCAUCUUAAUGUGGAAGGCUUGUUCCACGGGAUUUGGGAAGACCAUAGUUGGCAUACUUUGACAUCUACAAAACGGGAGAAAAUUCAAGUUAGUUGAUUGAUUGAGUCCUUAAUAAAUCACCCAAAUGAGAUAUUAAGACUAGGAUCCAACACAAUACUCUACAACCUAGAAAAGGUAUGUCGUAAUCUAGUUGCAAAACAUUUGAAGGUAAGUGAAUGAUGAUUCACUAAUUUCCACCAUGAAAAACGAAAAAGAAAUUUAAGUUUUAAAUCUAUGGAAAAUCCUAGAUCCUUUGAGAUUCAUUGAACAUUUCAAUGGCAUGUUUAAAUCUCGAUAUGCCCCUCUUGUUUGUGACUGGGAUGCCGAGGAUCACAAAGCGGGUGUGAAUAACCAUGCAAACUUACAUGGUGCCCUCACAUGUUACAGUCACCUAUUCGAUGUGCCGGUAAACCACACACGCUCCACCGAACUAUGACAAACAUUGAGUCACCCUUUGCUACCUUUGCUUAGAACCAUUUAGUGUGCCGGUUAACCACACACGCUGCUCUAACGUGUUCGCAAGGGCACAAAGUGUAAUUUCAUGGAAUCGCAUCAAUUCACUUUUGCCUAAAGUAACUAAGAUUGGGAAUUUGUAAAAGCAUUUAGUUACUUUUGUACUUCAUUAUGCUUAUAAUGAAAGCUUUCUGUCCUAUCCUACCUGUUUGGCUAAUGACCCUCCACUAGUCAAGAGUGUGGUGGGUAAGAGUGGAUACCCGUUAAAUGGCCAUUUUAUAGGCAAUUUCCUUAAACACCCCUUAUAGACCAGCUUCGUGAAUGAGGCCUACUAACGGUAAGACUGACUUUUACUCAUACAUAUAUAUUAGACUUUUAAUGUUAUAUAUAGUAUAGGGUGUAUUUUACACUUUUAAAAUACUAGGUGGUCAAAUUUAAUAAUUAUACACUUUAAUUAAUUAAUAAAACCAUAAGGGUGUGAUUUGAACUUUUCAAAACAGUACUAGGGUUUUAGAAUUUAACAUUUUUAAAUUAAACUUUUAAUCAACUUUUAAAUUCCAAAACUUGAGGGCAAGUUUUGAAACAUUUCAAAACAUUAGGGUUUCAACUAUUUAAAUUUCCAAACAAAAACUUUAAGUUCAAAUUUAAACCAUAAAACUUACAUGGGCACAAAUGAAACUUUUUCACAACACAAGGAUCAAAUAACAAAUAAUAGAAAUUAAACAAUUAAUUUUGUCAUUAUCUAUAUUUGACCUAAUUUCAAUUUCGUGCAAGAUAAGUUACCUAAUUAAUACAAAUAAUCAAUCUUUAAUCAUAUAAUGAAGUUAUUAUCUAAUCAAUUGGUAAUUAUCUUGUGUUUUGGCAAGGAUAGUCUUUUAGAAACAUUAAAAAUCGUAUUUUAUAAGUUUAAAAUGAAUAUGGUAAUUAUCCUUAAACAAAACAGCAAUAAAAUCCGAAAUUCCCUCUGUCUGACGCUCCGACUCGCCGAGUCACACAUUGGAACUCGUCGAGUAGGGCAGACUCGCCAAGUCAGUUCGAACAGAAGGCCAGAAUUCGAUUUUCAGUUAAUAAUUCAACAUAGCAUCACAUACAACAGAAACCAAUCAAGUCUCUGAUACCACUGAUGGGUUUUAGCAAAAUGAACAUCCUGUGUGCUCAUGCAAACCCUAACGCUUGGAUCUUGAUUUCUCUAUUGUACAUGCAAUGUAUCCAAGACUUACAAUCUUAGAUCUAACAUAUUAUAAACUGAAAUUAGGUUUUAGAGAAUUACCUUUGAUUGUUAUGUAUCAAUAACAAUCUCAAAUCCUCCUUGUAAUGGCUAUAGAAAGCAUAGAGUCACAAUUGCCACUCCUCUAAUGGCUCACAAACACCAAGAGCAAGAGGAUGAAGAAUAAGGAGAGAGGAGGCUGCCCAAAAUGUCCAGAAAACCCUAGUGGAACUCUUAGCCACACAUUUUGGGGCUUAAGGGUACUAUAUAUACAUGUAGGCUAUUAGGGGUUUCAACUAGGAAACCCUAAUUUGACUGCUUAAGCCCUAAGCAGCCCAUGGACCCUUUUAGAAUAUCCCUUGGAUGAUUUCUAAUGGGUUUCCCCAUAGAAUUCGUCCAACCUAUUAUUCCAAGGUGAUCCAUAGCCCAAAUGCAAUUAUCUUAUAAUUACAGUUCCAGUNAGUUUAAUUAAUCUCUUUUAGUCACAAAAUUAAUUACCAAUUAAUUCUUGACUAAUAUUAAUUAAACAAUAUGAUUUCUCCUUUAAUAUAUUAUUCUCAUAAUAUAUUAAUAAAUCAUAUUUAAUCUUUUCUCUCCAUAAUUCAUCCUAUCAAGUUGCUUUGGUGAAGGCAACCCAAAAGGACCAUGCACCAUCGGGUCAAGUACAUACCAAAAUAGUUAUGGACUUAGACACUAAUCCAACAGUAAUGUAUCCAGAUCUUUAGGGCGAACACAACCGCUCCUAAUUCGAGGUCGUGUGUGAUGUAGUUGGCCUCAUGUGUCUUCAGCUGUCUUGAGGCGUAGGCGAUGACCUUACCUCGUUGCAUCAGAACACAACCAAGCCCCUGAUUUGAUGCAUCGCAGUAUGCCACGAAAUCUUCUGUCCCUUUGAGGAGCGAUAGGUUUGGUGCGGUGCAUAAGGCUCGUUUCAGGGUUUGGAAUGCCUUCUCCUGCUUCUCUCCCUAGUCAAAUGUCAUGCCUUUCUGAGUCAAUGUGGUGAGGGGUUUCGCAAUCCGAGAGAAGUUCUAAAUGAAUCUGCGGUAGUAGCCAGCAAGGCCUAGAAAUUGGUGAAUUUCUAUAGGUGUCUUCGGUGCUGACCAGUUUUCAAUGGCUUUGAUUUUUGAUGGGUCCACGUGGAUUCCCUCUUCGCUAACCACGUGUCCUAAGAAUUCGACUCUUCGGAUCCAGAAUUCGCACUUCGAGAAUUUCGCAUAUAGCUUCUCUGAUCGUAGGGUUUCUAGGACUUAUCAUAGGUGAUCGCUAUGCUCCUCCUUACUUCGAGAGUAGAUGAGUACGAAGAUGAUGAUGAACUGGUCCAAGUAAGGACGGCACACCCUAUUCAUUAAAUCCAUGAAUACUGCGGGCACGUUGGUCAGUCCGAAUGACAUUACUACGAACUCGUAAUGUCCGUAACGAGUUCGGAAGGCUGUUUUCGGAACAUCCUCCUCAAGCACUCGUAACUGGUGAUACCCGGACCUAAGAUCAAUCUUGGAAAAGUAACUCGCCCCUUGCAGUUGGUCGAAUAGGUCGUCUAUACGGGGAAGAGGGUAGCGAUUCUUGACCGUUAGCUUGUUGAGUUCUCUAUAAUCGAUGCACAUGCGGAACGAUCGGUCCUUCUUCUUCACGAACAAGACCGNUGAAGCUUCUUUCUGCUCCACUAUCGAAUAAGACACAAGCAUAAGAGUUGUUGAGAAGGAACGUACCCAUGACUACUGUGGGGUCCGCUACUGCUUCAUUGUGGCCAAUAGCGAGUAGUCUUCCUGUUCCUUCUAUAUUCCCGGCUUUCAGGCAGUUUUUCUGGAAAUGACCUACUUCACCGCAGCCAUAGCAGGCCUAGCUCACUCACGAGCUGGGGACUUGAGAGAUAGGUUUGGGUUGGGAUCUGCAAAACCGGACGGUAUGGCCCUUCCAGUCGCAGUUAGUGCAGUGCAAUUCACGGCAGGGGCCGUUGUGAUGGAAGGGGCACUUGGGGAACUUGGGUAAGUUUCCAGUAUAGGAUUUGGCUAGUACAGGGGUAGGAGGAGUGGUGGCAGCAUGGACGGCCACCAUCUGUUUGUUUUUGGAGGAGGAUUGAGUUUUCUUUCCCUUCUUCUGAUCCCAACGCUUCCUCUUGUUGUCUGUUGAUUUGGGUGGUGCAGUGGAAAUCGCCGUAUUGUUGAUGGGGUGGAGGGAGUUUCAUGAUCAAUUAACCUCUGGGCCAAUUCCUUGGUGCUAUCAAAGGUCGUAGGGCGUGAUGCUAACACGUUCCCUCGAUACGGGGGCACCAAACCCCAGAUGUAUCGUUCUAUCUUCUUGCUUUCAGAAGGGAUCAUGUUAGGACACAUAGCUACCAGGUCGCAGAACCUAGCAGUAUAAGCUAUUAUGUCGGUUCCCUUCAUCUUGAGGUUCCAAAGUUCUUCUUCGAGUUUCUGAACUUCGCCCCUAGGGCAGUACUCAUUCAUCAGUAGGUCCUUCAGUGUGUCCCAGCCCAUGAUGUUGGCUGUUACCAAGGAGAGUGAUUUCACAUGGCCAUUCCACUAUGUCAAGGCCCUUUCAGUGAAAGUGGCAGCAACAAACUUUAUGUUGCUUUCUUCGGGGCAUGAGCACAUUUCGAAGACAACUUCAGUCCUUUCAAUCCAUUGGAACAAAGCAAGGAUUCCUCCGGUCCCAUUGAAAAAUGUCGGUUUGCAGUUCAUGAAAUCUUUAUAAGUACACCCCUGUGUACUUGAGGGAAUUUCGACAUGUCUGGAGUUGAUGCCCAUUCCAGCUCCACUGGCAUCACCGAAAUUCAUUUGAGCCAUUGCGGCUGUUACAGCUGUAGUUACAGCUGUUUGAAACAUCACAGGAUCGAACUGUGGGGGAGAAGGUGGUGGAGGUGGAGUCUGAGUUGCAGGUCUGCCUCUGUUCGGACGCUUGCGGGGAAGCAUCUUUUACUGGAAAUUUAUAAAGAUGAAGAUAAUAGUAAGAAUCGAUUGUAAAUAAGUUGUGAGAGUUUCACAGACCAAGCUGACAUAGUUUAGUUAUCAAAUAGAAUCAUAGCAAUAGAGUAGAAAAACACAAAACUUCAGACUUUCUCACAAAGUGUGUAGCUGCCAAUAUUACUGGUAUUAAUGAUGUAAAAUGAAUUCGGGAAAAGCGACCUAACAGUAGGUCGUACAUUAAACCAUAAGGGAAAAUGUUGGCAGCCUAGAGGCCUAAUUAGAGUACUUUCAAAGUUAGGAACAUUUACAGACAAGUGCUCUACCGAGCAUAGAAAGAGAAAGGCUAUUCGUUAAACAAAAGGGAAAGAUAAGUAGAUAUCUUUUACUAGCGACGGGUACUCAUUGAGCGAACCCUACGAUCAGCCAGUUGGCAUACAACUUCCUGAAGAUGUCUCUCCUGAACCCUCUGACGCGCUCAGAGUUCUCUAACUUCGGCUCGGGAUGCAGCUAGCUGUUGCUGCAGAGCCUCAUUGGUCCCCCUAGUCCUAUUCAUUGCUUCUUCCAGUUGGCGGAUAUGGAUAGUGUUAAGGCUGGAGUUGGCAUCAAUUUCCAUAACUCUGCCAAUGGCUACUUGACCUUGUUCGGUGUUCCUGGCAAUCCUACGGAUGAUGAUGGGCAAGACUCGGUCCGCUGAUCCUCCUUCGCUUAUGUUGUAGAAGCUUCGGUCUCCGUUGAAAGGUAAAGGCUGACCCUGCUCAUCGCUCCAUCGGUUCAAGGUGAUUGCCCACAUGGGGGUGGGACCUUGAAAUUCCGGACGGGGAUUAGGGUUUGGAGCUACUGGGGGUAGGUUGUUGACUUCUGGUUCGGAGUCGGAGCUAUCCGAAAAGCCUUUAGCAUGGUGAUCAUCCAAAGGAAUCGGGUGAUCAUCCUCUAGCUCCUCAUCGAUCCAUCCCCCAUUGCCUUGGUUUGGAUAGUACGGAUCGCCGGGAAGGUGGAAGCCAGCCAUGCUAUCUACGCGAGAAUGGGGAAAGAAAGGUUAAUAGAUGUACUAAUCUAGGAUACUUAUAAGAUGAUCAUUAUUAGUCGACCCAAUACUUGCAUAGUGCAUACCAAUUACAUGUAACCGAAGAAAGAUAGACCUUCGAAUAAGUGACCCUAACUCUAAAUCCACAAUCAAACAAGAACAGGAAAUGAAGCAAAGGUCACAGAUUCUAAGUGUAUAGCGCCCUAGUCACAUGUAAUCGUGGUGUAUCCACUUAGCAACUAUUGCCUACUAGUAACGACCCUUUUUGUCAUCACAUAUGUAGUUAGUAGAAUGCAGAAUACUCCUACAGUAUUCUUAUUCUAACGUUCUUGUGGUAGUGUUGGUAAGUUUUUAGACUUGUUGCAACACCACAAUCACUCUUAGGCACAUGCUAGUCACUCCUAGAAAAAUGUAGUUGAUCAGGCUACAUCCACCCAGAUGUGACUAUAUGUCUCUAAGCCUAAUUGUAUUGUUCAACAAUCUUAAUACUUUUGUUAUGUUCUAGUAUGAUACUGACCCUUUGUAUUUAUGAAUGUAUAUAUAUACUUAAUUAAAUACAUUAGUAUUUAAGAGUAUAUAUUCUUGGUCAGAGUGUUUUAGUCCUGAAGUGUUUAUAGUUCGUAUAUCUUUUAUGGGUUGAUAUACUUGAUUCACUAUAAACAAUGCUCUGAUACCAAUCUGUCACACCCCAAAACCAAGAACGGCGGAAUACGUUCAAGGGUGGAGGACGUCAUGUACAAUAUCAUAACAAUUGCAUAAUAGUAAAAACAAGCGACAACACGCAUUGCAUCAAUAUAGUAAUUGUAAAUACAAGCGUGUUCUGUACAGUUUGAUAGACACCAAAAGUAUAAACAAAAGUAAAAGAUGUGUCUUGUAUAUGCUCCAUCUUCUUAAAAGCUGCACCAGUACCUGUCUAUUUUUGACCUGAGAAUACAAGUUAUUUUAAAAACGAGUAUCAGCAUAAAGCUGGUGAGUUCAUAAGAAUUUAGUGUCGUUGCUUGUAUAAAAGUGUUUACAAUCAUGUAAUAUAAAAGCUGUGAUUAAUGUUUGAGAAUAGUAAAAAUCCCUAGAAAAUCCUAUAUUUUCUAGAUUUGAGCAUUUGUAAGUUUGAUCCUUUGAGUGUGUAAAAUUUUUCCCAUUGAAAUUUUCAGUUAUAAAAAUAAGGUAAUAGAUUUCAUUCACGUAAAGUAGAUGAGGAAAGAUGAUAUCUUAUUCCAGUAGUUUUACUGCCGGCUGGCUGUAGUAGUGUUACAAACUUCAAUUAGUAAUAUAUAUAUAUAUACUUCCGGAAGUNCGGGAAGUUAGCUUAGCCUUUAAUUCUUAGUGUGUUAAUUUGGGUAUGGAUGUGAUCUCUCAUGUAACCAAACUAAGUGAUAAUAGAGAGUCCGAUGACCUUCCUGGUCAUACGUAGUGUAGCGAUGUUUUGUCACCCCUGGGCCUAGUCGGCUCGGACUGUAGUUAGCAGUCGGGAUGUAAUAGUGUCCGUCCUGUAUAGAUCUAUACAUGUAGUGUUGCUUUCCUUCCGGGAAGCUCUGAUUACAUGGUAUUCGCACAGUAGAGUGCCGUAUAGAGGAAUAGUGUGUCGCAUUCUGGAUUAGUGUAUUCACUUGUAUUAUAGUAUAAUUAACUUUAUAGUAUAGUAUAUAGAGUGUUCUCUUUAACAUGUAUUAACUUGUAAUGGUAGUAAUUAUAGUGAGCGUCAUAGUGAUAGGGGUAAUGAGCAGUAGUCUUAACUAUACCUAUUAUAGUUAAAUAGAGUGUGAGAUUGCAUGCCUUCGGUUUACAAAGGUAUUGAAUAAGGUGAAGACUUUCAUAUCCAACACAAAUAUAUAUGAUAUAUAACUAAGAAUUCAACGACAGUCGGACAGAUAACAGUAUACCCUAAGACCACAAUCAAACAAGAACAGGAAGUAAAGCGAGCUAUCAGUCCUAUGUCCUUCAAGUCUUACUUAUAUAAAUAUAUUGGUGUAGAUAUAGUUUAAAAGAAAAGUAGUUUAAAAACAGUUUGAAAAUAGUUUAAUAAAAAUUUAACAUGGAAAAAUGCGUUUGAUAAUUAUUUAAAACAGUUUUGUUGACAUGUAGCUAAAAGUAUAGAAAAUCCUUUUUCAUUGCAAGUUAUAAAUCACGUGUGAUUUGAUACUAUAACUUUUUGUAUUUAACUUGUAUUGCCCCCCCCCCCCAUAAAACNNNNNNNNNNNCAUUUGAAAGGUUAAUUAAGGGGUAUGAACUCACUUGUAGCGAGUGGAUCGGGUGGAAGUGUCGGUUGAGUGCUUGGUGUCAAGUGAAGACUUGAACACACUUUAUGUGACAACCCGAAAUUUUCAUUCAGUCAAACCCUAAAAGUCAAUCACUUCAUAUUAUAAGUCAAGUUCACUUUUACUUGUUUUUGGGAAAAAUAAGUUCUUUUGAUUAUUUUAAUAAUUAAUCUUUAAACGAACGGGUGAACGGAUGGGCCGUCUCGGGUCUCGAAAUUUCUAAACCGCAAACACCUCGUGUCUUAGAAGUUCACGACCAAACUUUUAUGUUUGGGUCGAAAAAUCAUCCAAAAACGUAAACUCAUGCCUUAAGCAUGAGUUUACUCCCCAAACUAGUCAUUCUUGUGUUUACUCCCCAUUUACCAAAAGAGUAAACUCAAAAACUCUCUCAAGUAUCAUCCAAGUUUUGCUCAAUAUCUUCAAUCUAGUAAGUGUUUCUAGCCCUUUCAAGUUAGUAUAAUAUAUACUUAAUCUAGUGAUUGUAUAUCCUUUAAUGCAUCCAUUUUUGUGUUUUGAUCAGUUUUCCAAAAACACCAAGAACACACACUAAGUGUUCUUGGACUUUAAGUUCAUUUCAAGCUUCCACAAUGUAAGUACUUCUAUCCUAGAGUCAUUUAAAGCUUGCUAUACAUUUUUAUACCAAGGAAAAGUCCCAGGAACACCAAGAACAAGGUGUUCACGGUUUUGGGAGGCUCCCAAAACCAUAAACACCAAAUUUAGUGCCUUAGGGUGCUUUAGGGUGUCUAGAUGCUUCACAAUGCCUUAGGGACUUGUCUAGAUCCAUCCUUGAUGUGUAUAUCACAUAAAAGAACAAGAAAACAACCAUUUUUAUGUGUUUACGGUUUGGGGAUCUCCUAAAACCAUAAACACCCCAAAAGGUGUUUAAAUGUCCCAUAAAAGUCCCAUGGUUGUUCCUUAUGUCUAAAUCUAACCUAGACUAUUGCCAUGAUUGAGCUAAGGACUUCAAAACCCCCAAAUACCAAAGUUAUGGGUUUAAGGUAGUAAACUCAUGAUUUUAAGGUAGUAAACUCAUGAGUUUAAGGUAGUAAACUCAUGGAGAAAUGGUCCUUAGACCAUAAACUCCAUUUAGGAGUGUUUUGAUGCGACACAACACUUCCUAAGGCUUAAACAUGAAGUAGGAAUGUUUGGAAUAGCUUAGAAGACUUCAAAACAAAAAAUUGUCAAAAUGUUAGGAGUUUACGACCGUAAACUCAAGAGUUUACGACCGUAAACUCAAGAUUUUACGACCGUAAACUCNGUAAACUCCUUGGGUAAUGGUCAUGAAAACCGUAAACUCCAAGGGAGUUUACCCUUGAACCCCAAACACACUAGCCUUUCCCUACAACACUUAGAUGCACUCUUUAGCCCUUAUAAUACUUAUACAAAGUGUUUGUCAUGCCCUAGAGUGUCUUUACUUUUUAUUAAUUGGUUAAAGACUAUUUGUUUNCCGAAGGUCGAUUUUAUUCCCGAGAUUCCCGAGAAUCCCGAGAAAAAUCCAUUUCCCGAGACGAAACUCUGCCCGGUUUUCCAUCUCGCUAUCUUCAGACUUUCAUGUGAGUUCAUACCCCUUAACUAAUGUUUUAAACUAUUUUAAAUGUUUUAUGGGGGGGGAUACGAGUAGAAUCAUGCUAGUUAUUAUAUCAAUCACAUGUGAUUAAUAAGCAGCAUUCAAAUAAUUUUUUACUCAUUAGCCGUUUUACCAAACAGUUUCCUUCAAAUGUUGUUCAUAAACACUUAAUAUGUUUAAAACUUCGUAUUAAACUGUACAUUUUACUCUGUAUGUUUCAUUUCAAACUCAAUUACAAUUAUGUUUCAAACAAAUGUUUCUUUAUACUUAAACUGUUUUAUCAAACCCAUGCUUUCAAACCGUUUUAUAGAUUGACAUCAAGUCAAUCUUUACUUAGAUAAUAAAACUUAUUUUAUGCUUUUAUUUUAUCAAUUGCAUGCCUAUAUAUCUAUAGAUAUAUAAGAAAUGUUUAAAAGACUUAGGAAGGCUAUCCACCCUAUUUCCUUUUCGCACUUGAGAUGUGGUCUGGUGGGACAUCAGGUAUCUGUCCGAAGGUAGUUUAAAUAUUAGUUAUAUAUCAUAUGUACAUAUAUAGUCAUAAAGGUUUCCUAGUUCAUUCAAUACCCUUGGGUAGCAAGGGUAUACUUCCAUGUUCAUACGUGCCAGUUACAUUACUAGUAAGCUACCAUAUGGGUAUUUUAGGAAGAUACUAGAACUAUUACUAGAACACGAUAUCAUACAAUGAGUCAGUUCAUUCAUGAGUCAAUACUUGCCAGAUAGAGAGAGAGCACACGUCACAGCUAGUACACACAGUACAUUACUAUACAUUUACAUAGAUACAUCUACAUGAGUACAUUUACAUAGAUACAUCUACAUGAGUACAUUUACAUGAGUACACUUACAUGAGUACAUUUACAUAGAUAUAUCUACAUGGGUACAUUUACAUAGAUACAUCUACAUGAGUACAUUUACAUGAGUACACUUACAUGAGUACAUUUACAUAGAUACAUCUACAUGAGUACAUUUACAUGAGUACACUUACAUGAGUACAUUUACAUAGAUACAUCUACAUGAGUACAUUUACAUGAGUACACUUACAUGAGUACGUUUACAUAGAUAACAUAUGAUGAAUUAAUAGUACAUUUUAUAUGUAUAGAUUCUGUUAUAUAAUCCUCAUUCUUAUCUUCACUUUGUGAUAAAUCACAUAAUCGGCGAGAUAGAUUGGAUUUAAUAUCCUAGUACCAAAGGAUACUUUGCGGGAUUAACCAUUCCUAGAAUCUAUGUUAGCUACAAAGGUAAAAGCUCAUCCUCGGAUGUCAACGGUUGAUACCAUUACAGGUAUACUUUAAGGGACUAACUAUUCCUAUACCCAGCUGUUAGCAACAAAGGUAAAUGUAUAUCUACGGAUGUCUCCAAUUAACACUGUAAGCUACCCAAGUACCAAAGGGUAAUACUUAGGUUAUUUAUAUUAUUACCUCUAUCUUGUGACUCAUUCACAUAACCGAUGAGGUGAAUUAUUUGAGUAUCCUAGUAUCAAAGGAUACAGUUUCUUAUAAAAAUAAUAAUAGUAGCACAGUUGGGUCUUGGUAGAAGACUACAUUUAGAACAGUUGGGUCUUGGUAGAAGACUACAUUUAGAACAGUUAAGUCUUGGUAAAAGACUACAUUUAGAACAGUUAGGUCUUAGUAGAAGACUCCCUUUUAUAAUAGUAGGAAUCAUAGGGAUUUCUAGGAUUUUUCAAACGUUACAGUUGUUUUACAAACAUUUUCAUACUUACACGAACUUUCUUUCAAAACAUUUUCAAGUCUUUCAUUACAUGUCAAACAAAUAAUUACAUACAAAUUAAGACACAUUAAUACAUAUGACCUCACCAGCUUUAAAGCUAAUACUCUCUUUCAAAAUAACUUGUAUCCUCAGUAUCGAUGCAAGGUUUAGAGAAGAUGGAGCUCGUUCAAGACUCAUCUUUCAUUUUGAUUACACUUUAGUGUCUAUUAUAAUUUGACAGAACACUUGUAUUAAAAUUAUAUUAUUAAUGCAAUGGAUGAUGUUGUUGCUUGUUUACUACUUUUCAUUGUUGUGAUACUAUACAUGACGUCCUCCGCCCCAGAACGUUUCCGUCGUUCAUGUUUUUUGGGUGUGACACUAUAUUACCCUAGUAACAUAUGAAGACAUAUGUUUACAUAUAAUUAGUGAUUAAAACACUAAUUAAACACGUAUAGACAUCCUAAUGCGAAGAAAAACUCUUUGGUCAAGUGCUAGGAGGCUAUUGGGUUGCAAGGAAAGAUUGUAAGGCCUCACUAUGGAGUUUACUCCUCAGAUACUCACCUUAGGUGAGUUUGCGGUUGAGGGACCAAUUCCCCCAUGAGUUUACGGCCGUAAACUCAUGGGAGGAGUGUAUUUGAGUGCUUAAGGGUCUCUUACAUCACUUGGAAGGGUUCUAAGGUUAAAUCCCUGGCUUUAGGGGUGAUUAGGGUUCAAAAGGGGCACUCCCUGGGAGUUUGCGGUCCUUGGACCACUCCUUGGGAGUUUACGGUCAUAAACACUAUGGUUUACGGCCGUAAACCCUUAGACAUACCUUUUCCUUCGUUUUUGAGGUCCUUAGCUCACUCCUACAAGUUUCUAAGUUAAGGUCCAAGGCUAAAUAGGGGGUUUCAAUUUGCAUCAUUUGAGGGACUUUACGGCCUAAGAAUGCUCUUGGGCCGUAAACCCUCAUUCAAGCCUCCAAACUUAAUGUUUAAUGUCUAAAACACUUCAAGGGUAAGUUCUAAGUUAGUCUCUAAGCCUAAGGAAGGGAUUUAGGGGCAUUUUGGCACCGUUUUAGGGGUUUACGGCCUAAGAGGGUUCUUGGGCCGCAAACUCCUUGUUCUUGACCUUCAUGGAUGAUUUUCAUGCUAUAUAGACAUGUAAUGAGCUUUAGAACAAUCUAGGGUAAGAGAACUUACAGUUUGGGGGCGAAAACUUGUGGAUUUUUGGAAGAAUCGGGCCUUGAAGAGAGAGAGUAGAGAGAGUGACUAGAGUGGGAAAAGUUCCAUUUAGUUCCCACUCAACCCUUAUAUAGGGGUUGAGUUUAUGACCAGGUGGGAAUCUACCCGAUACCGACAUUAAACGGGGCUUAUGGUCGUACCCGAUUAAAUGGUGGUAAUUUGACUUGUUGGUAACUAAAACUUUUUAAGGGAAUAUUGAGGGUGUUUCACGUGUUUCUAAUUUGUUCCGACCCUUAUGAAGUCAUAAUAAAAGUUCUAAUUUAAUUUGCCUGAUCCCAAAUGUUAACGGAAAAGUUUAAUAAGAACGAUUUCUAUUAACAGAAACGGGUUACUGACGGAAUAAAUUUUAGGUUGUCACAGAUUACAAAUGGACUCGAAGAGUUGGCCAUUAAGUCGACAAGUUGGUCAGAAGUUUUGCGAUUCUUUACGCUGACUUGCCGUCCAUGGAUUUUAAGUGAUGGACUCGUCGAGUUGGUCACUGGAAUCGCCGAGUCGCCUCUGUUUUCAGAAUUUAUAUAUAGAAACGUUUUCCAUUCGAACCCUAAUGAACGGGGGAAGUUUAGGACGAUUUUUGGAGGCCAGAAGGGUCUUAGAAGUUGUGGUUUUCGAGAUUUCAACUUAGAUAUCAAUUUGGAAAAAGAUCAAAGGCAAUAACACAUUACUUUUAUCUUAAUCUUUUGCAUGAACCAUGUUUCAAUCAUUAGAUUAUGUUUUUAGUUUGUUAUUUGUUGUAAAUAUGAGCUAAAAACUCAUAACUUCUGUUUAGGGUGGAUGAUUUUAUGAAUAUGGUUUGAUUUUCUGAUUGGAUUAAUUUAAUUUGGUGGUUUUGUUUUGUUAAGCUUGUUAAAGAACCUUAUGUGUUAAUUAAAACUAUUUUCUGUUAAUUAACCAGUAAUUAAGUUGCAUUAACAUCUCUUAAUUGCUAAUCUCAUAUGAUUUAUGUGAAAACAUUGUUAUAUGCCUAGGAAUAGCGAGCGUGAAACUAGGGUUAACUAGAAAAUUGGUAAAUUAAUGUGUGAGCUUGUGUGACGGACCAUCAACAAGGAGUUAAUUGAAUUAACAUAUUUGCUUAGCUCAUUACAAGUCUUACUUAACCUGAAUCAAUAAACUAGGAAAUCUAUUAGUUUAAUCACUUGAUCACUACUUGAAUUAAUUUGGUUUCUAAGGAUUAGAAAUAGCGAACAUGAAUAUAAUCACAAUAAUCGGUAGCCAAAGCCAAUUAAUCCAUUGCACUUGCCAUAAAAUCAACCAUAGGAAUAAAUGAUUCAAACCUAAACAGAAGUCUCCUCCAUUAUUGAAUCUAGUUGUCUUUUGUUUCUCCUUAAUUGUUAAUUGUCCUUUGUUAAAUAGUUUAAGUAGUUGUUUCAGUUUCUAUUAUUGUAAAACUAGAGAAAAACCCUUCUUUUUACUUGUUUUAUUUAGAUGAUAUUAGUAAUAAUCUUAUUUGUUUACUGUUCCUUGUGUUCGAUACCCUACUUACCUGAACUAAGCUGCUAACCGAUAAGUACAUUGUCUUUCGUGUGUUUGUUUCUAUGUCUAAGUUAGUAUAGAGUUGUACUCCAAGAUUGUGCAUUGAGUGACACAUCUUUAGUAGGUUUAUAGCACUAAUCAAAUGUGGAAAAGAAAUGUUUCUUACUCUUGCACAUUUGAAAUUGGUAAGUUGUGAUGUCUUGGAUAAGACAAAGACUAACUAAGACCAAUUGUGUGAAGUGUUUGUCUUGAUAAGAACCUGCUCUAACUCUUGAAUAUUUUUUUGUCAAGGAAUGUUUCUUGACAAAAGAAUCUUAUAUGUCAAGAAGUCAGUGGGAGUCUUAAUGAUCUUGAAUAGCUUCAACAACUAAUCAAGAAUAAACCUAUUGUUUAUCACUAGCACAUGACUUGAGGUUUGUAAUCUAUCGUGUUGACAUAUUCUUGUUUCUGUGUCUAUUCCACUUAAAGUUGACUAUGCAUGUGAGUUCUAUGAGUUCUUAAUUUUUUGGAUAAGGAAAAUCACCUUGAUCAGUGAAAGUCCAUUGAUCAGUAAGGGUGAUCUGCUCAACAGCUUGGAAGACAUUGUAGGCCCUUGUACUGCUAAGUGGCAAUAAAUUAAGAUUGAACAAGUUCAGUCCAUAUGGGUUUGAUUUUGUCAUAUACCUUGUCUUAUGAUAAUGGUUGGAAAUGACAGUUUCACAUGGAUAGGAACACAUACACCAUAAAAUCUAAGUGACAAUGUUUCUUUCCGCUUCAUGAAAAUGAUUGUGAAGAAAUGCUUUCACUAAGAAGAUUUUAAGGAUAAGCAUUGUGUAAAUUGAAUUCUCAAAUUUGAUUAUGAUUACGACAUCCCUUUUCAUAGUUCGAAUUGUGAGAAAUGGAAAAUGGUUGAAGCAUUUGGGACUUAUUGCUAUAAAUUCUGAAAUAGUAUAGACACACAUAUGAGCUAUCUAAGGAGAGGUGUAUGAGUUUGAGAAGCUUAGAUAAAGUCUUAUCAAAGCAUCUUGUAUCAGACAUCUGAACUUUGGUAAGAUAGUCAAUAAGUAUUGAUUUCUAGAAGUCCAACUGAUUUUUUGACUACAUGUCAAAGCUAGUGGGAGAAUAAGUGUUAUGCUAGUUGGAAUGUAAUUAUUAUGCUAUUGGGAGCACAAUUAUUACAUUAAGUUUUGUAGGGUAGUAAUGCUAUUUUUAGGAAACAAAGUUUUUAUUUGCAAAGUUGUAGUGUUUGAAAAGUUGUUUCCCUAUAGCAAGGGAGAGGAUACUUAUACUUUAUUUUGAAUCUAAAAGUUUAGAUUUUAGUAUUAAAGCUUAGUCAUGACCAUAUAUGAAUAUCGGGUUGAAAUGUUUCAACAUUGGAAAUUCUAUAUAUGGAAACAUUAAUGCAAGAGACUGGUAAAGUAUCAUGCCUUUAUGUAAGACAUUAUGAAUCGUAUACCAUAUUCCUCAGGUAUAGGAUCGAUUGUAUAUGCUAUAAUAUUCACGUGUUCUAUUUUUCUAAAUGCGUAGGGCAUUAAGAGGGAAAAAGGACUAGAACCGGAUACGACUAAAGUGGUUAAACCACUGUCAAGGACAAUCUAAGGUUCGCUAAUGAUUGAUCACUUGUAGUUGGAAGUAUAGUAAUGAAUGGACCAUAUAGACAUUAUUAUAAAUAGAUAGAAUUCUAUUAAGAAUAAAUUGUCAUAUGGCAAAUAUGGAAAAGUUUCCAUAAUAAGAGUUGGAUAAUAAGAAUCUAUGUGUAGGUUAGAAACUUUUAUGCAAGAAGGAUGUUCAAAGGAAUGUACUUUGAAUGUGAGACUUCAUAUCUAUGGAGUUGUCUUGUGACAAUCUCAAAUAGAGCACUCUGUAAUAUCAUUGACAAAGUCUUUGUGACUUUGGUACCUUGACGUUAUAAAAGGAUCAUCGCAUGAUAGUUUAGAAUCUAACACAUUCUAAUAGUUUCAAGAAUUUGGUAUUCUUACACUUGCAAUAAGGAUUUUGAAUUGUGAAAUUAGAAUCAUUGGAAAUGUAUUCAAUCGAUCUAUUUCACAUAGAAAUGACCAUAGGUAAACAUGGUGUGCAUUCUUGGAGCAUGGGAUAACUAUUGCUUUAAUCAAGUAUUAAGUUGAUUAUUCAAAACAUUAUACAAUAAAUAAUGUGUAAUCAAUAUGGUAAUUAAAUAAUAAGUUUUUUAUUUAUACUCAAAAGUUUUGAGACCAUAUUGGAUUCGAUUAUUAUUGUGUUUCACUUUGCAUGCUUUGACUUCCAGAAUAACUAGGUUGUUCAAACAUCCACAGUCAAUCAUAUUUUGGAAGUAGGUAAUGAGGUAAGACUGUCAUGAAUCCGACUGUAGAUUGUUUAAAUUAUUUAAACAUAGCAAAAGUUUGUUGCAGUGUUCAUGAGUACUCUUGAAAUAAGAUUUGAGUAUUGGAUUAAACUCAUGCUCACAUGAAUCACUUCAUGGAUUUUAUCACGAGUGAUUGUGAGAUGAUAAUAUAUUAUAUUCUUGAAAUAGAGACAUAUAGUUGUUAUUUACGAGUCGGUUGCGCAUUGAUAAUACGUAAACGUGUCAGUAACUUGAUGCUAUAAAACAUAUUGUUGUGCGUGAUUUGAUGAGUAAAUAGUACAAUGAUAUGAGUCGAAGUUUAUCCAUUCCUUUUAUUAAAUGUGGGAUAAAAACGAUGGGCCCUUCGGUGAUUUACUGAUGACAACCCUAAGCGCUUGGCCAAGCCUGGACUGAUUUGAUAUGUUCAAUUAGUCAGUCGUCAUAAAUCGGAAAUCGAGAACAACACAUGAACAGAAAGAAUGAUUAUAAUCAAUGUCUCAGUUCAUGUGAUAUAUAUAAUGGAGUAAUAUAUGAUCCCUUAUCUAAAGGAUGUGUUACUGAUAAGAUCAGAGUUUGACAACGACUUAUGAAAGCUACGAUUGAUAAUCAGAUUUUGAAGUCGUACUUCCAAUAAUAGUUAUUAGAAUUAUCCAAGUGGGAGACUAUUAGAUUAGGUGUCUAAGCCCAUAACUAUUUUCGGUAUGUACUUGAUUUGAUUAUGAGCAUGGUCCUUCUGGGUUGCCUUCACUCAUGUAACUUGAUAGGAUGACAAGUGGUGAAAGAGUAGGAUUUAUUAUAUGAAUAAUAAAUUGAUACUCAGAAUGGUUUUAUUAAUAUAUUAAUAGAUUAAUAUACUAUUUGGAAAUCAUAUUAUUAAUUAGUUAUUGAUCAGAAAUUAAUUUAAUAUUAAUUUUGGGAUUAAAGGAACUGAUCAAUAAUGGAGGGAAUGAUUAUGUAAAUCAGUAAUAGUUGUAGUUUGGGUUAAAGGACCUUAUUGAAAAGAGGUGGCCAAAAAUCUAUGGAAAGCCCAUAGAAUUUCCGUCCAAGGGCUUUUCAUAUGGGGGUCUAUGGAUUGCUUAUGGCUUAAGUAAGGAAAUUAGGGUUUCCACCUUAAAACCCUAAUAAGCCUCAACUAUAAAUAUACCCUCUACAUAGGAUUUUCAGCUACCAUGAGUUUUUGUGCGAAACCCUAGCCAAAAUCCUUCCCUCUCCAAGUCAUUCUUUGCAAGAGUGUUUGAAACUCCAUUAGAGCUGCAACACUUGGGUCACUAAGCUUUCAAAGGUCAAGGAGUUCUUGUUAUUCCUACAUAACAAGUGAGGUAAUGUUUCAAACCCUAUUUUACACAUGAAUUUCGAAAUUGGUAUGCUAGUUAUUAGGGCUUAUGCAUUGGAUGAUUAUUUGCAUGUAUAACUUGAGAAAAACCUAGAUCCAAAGCAUUAGGGUUGCAUGUACACCAUAGGAAUGUUGUAAUGCUUAAAACCCAUCAAGACAUUGCCGACAUUUUGAUGGAAACAUAUACGAAGAGAAUCCGAGAGAACACCGGUCCAGGUUUAGUGCAACCUGCAAUUCAUGCUACCGCACUGUUCGAGCUUACGGGACAUAUUCUUUCCGCGCUUAAGGACGUUCCAUUUUCUAGGAAAUAUCAUGAGGAUGCUUACAAACACCUUGAUGAAGUAAAUGACAUCGCAAAUUAAUUCAACAUUCCAAACGUUCCACACGAGAAGGUGUUAUUGAUAAUGCUUCCUUUCACAUUCAGAAGAGCUGCUAAGGAUUGGUUGAAGGCACUUACACCUGGUGCCAUUACUAGAUGGGCACAAAUGAAUGAACAAUUCUUAAAGCAAUUUUUCCCAACAUAAAAAGUGUCUAAAAUCAAGAAGGCGAUAACCAAAUUUGAGCAAAAACCGGGUGAAUCACUUUAUCAAGCAUGCGAACUUUACAAGGGAUUACUUCGAAAUUGCUCUCAAAAUGAUAUUAAUAUGCAACACGGAGUAUCAUUCUUCUAUGAUGGGGUAAAUGUGAUUACAAGACAACACCUUGAUUCUCAAGGACCUUUGAUGAAGAAAAAUCCUGCUAAUAUCAAUGAGCUAAUUGAAGAGUUUUCUAAGCAUUCGCGUGAGUAUAAUAAUUGUCGAAAUGAUAGGGCUAAAGGAAUUGAGAGUGGCACUUCUGAGGACAUGUCAUCUAUGUUAGUUAUGUUGAAUAAUAUGGAUCGAAGAAUGAAGAAGAUGGACCAAUCCAUACAUGCUAUUCGUAUGGGUUGUGAAAAAUUCAAUGGUAUACAUUUGACAAAAGAUUGUAAUUUGGAUGAGAACGGGAAUAAGAAAGCUCAAGUAUGAUACUCAAGUGGAUAUCGUUACGAUGAAGAUUAGAGGGAGCCAAAGAAAGAAUGGUUGCCAUAUGAGGAAUACAAAAAGCAAAAAGAAGAGAGAUACAGGCAAACAGGCCAAUGCUCGUACCAAAAAGAUCAACUACAACCUGAAAAGAAAGUGGAUUUAGAAUCCAUGCUUACUAGAUUCAUGGAAGCUUCAGAAAAAACGACAUGAUGAGACAGAUGCGGCAAUAAUAGACCAACAAGUUUUAAUGAGAGAUCAGCAAGCUUUACUUAGAAAUCAUCAAGCAUGGAUCCAAAAUAUCGAAGCUUAAAUUGGUCAAUUAACUACAUUGGUUAAUGAAAGAUUAUCUCCACAAAUUCUCGAGUAAAAGCCACAAUCGCAUGUCAUAGCCAUCGACACUAAUGAAGAUACUAUUGAUGAGUUCAUAGAAGUCCUAGAACAAGAGCAAAUCAGCCUGAACCAAAGCAGAAGAAUUCAAACGUUGAAGAAAAAAUUCUUGCACAAUCCUCGACAUCACGACGUGGAGAUUCAAUCUCCACGACAUGCACACAGCCUGAAAAGAAAAAUCAAUCUGGCGUUCAAGCGUUGGGUUAAUUUCGUGAGAAAAUAGAGAUGAGGGAAGAGACAAGAAAAUAAUAGAGUCUUAGAAGGGUCUCAAAACAUGUAUAUAUUUAGUUGCAUUCCACUUGCGUAGAAGACUUAAUGCGCAACUGCAUUCUAUGAAGACCAGUUUCCACGACGUGGCCCAUCGUUCCAUGUCGUGACUUUGGAAGCCAUUGCGAUUUCAAAAUGAUUUACAUCGACAACAGGACGUGAAUCACCAUAACACGUCAUGGCAAGGGAAAUGAGGGAAAAUAGAGAUGAGGGAAGAGACAAGAAAAUAAGCAUUGGGUUAAUUUCGUGAGAAAAUAGAGAUGAGGGAAGAGACAAGAAAAUAAUAGAGUCUUAGAAGGGUCUCAAAACAUGUAUAUAUUUAGUUGCAUUCCACUUGUAAAGAAGACUUAAUGCACAACUGCAUUCUAUGAAGACCAGUUUCCACGACGUGGCCCAUCAUUCCACGUCGUGACUUUGGAAGCCAUCGCAAUUUCGAAAGGAUUUACAUCGACAACACGACGUGAAUCACCAUAACACGUCAUGGCAAGGGAAAUGGCUUUUUAACUCUCUCUUCCAAAUUUAUAAUGUGACGUAUGCUUUCCCACAUUGAGAUUCUAAGCUCUGAAGAUUUUAUGCACCAUAUUUGUUGAAGAUUCAAGUAUUUGAUUCGCAUUCUGUCGGCAUAUUCACAUAUCUCAAAAGAUCCAAGUUUCAUUCACAUAUUGAAGGUGUUCAAUUUAUCCACACAUUUAGAAACGAUCUUAUCACUACUACCCUAGGGGAGUCUGUUCCUUUUUCUUCUUUUGUUGCUUUUAAAUUAUUUUAAACAUACAAUGAGGCCAUUGUAUGUAAUAAGUGUGGGGUAGGGGGUCGAAAAGUUAAAUUGCUAGAAAAUUUUAAAAAAUUUAAAAUUUAGAACUAAAUUUAGAAAUAGAUUUGAAAUAAUAAUCUACAAAUUGAAUCUAUUAGAAGUUUAAACUUAAGUUGCAAGUGUUAUAUGGAAUGAUUCAAUACGAGCUCAAAUGUUUAAUUGAGCCAACAUACAUUAUAGUAUAUUUGUAUCUUCCUAAUUUUUAGUGAAAAGUCAUGAGAUAUGAAAGAUAAUCUGGUAGAUUACAUGGCAUAAAAAGUUUUGCAACCUGCACCUGAAAUCCAUCCAUGAGAGCUUAUGUAGUCAUUGCACUUAUACUAAUACCUAUAAUCAAUAAAGGUUGAAGUUAAGCUCCCUUGCUGACGUAUGUAGGAUUUAAGAAAAAAAAGUGAGUUAGAAAAAAGAAAGAAAAUUACCAAAAAUUUGUAAUAAUUUUGGAGCUAUCAAGUAUGAACAUCAAAUAUCAAAAUUCUGAUAAAUCAAAAAGUUAAAGAUACCAAAAAAAACGAAAUAGUGGUGAAUUCAAUGAAAUUAGCGAUCAAUUAUUCAAAGAAGUGAAGAAUUCCAAAGAGCUCCAUUGUGGUAUCAAAAGUAGUAAUUUUUCUUGAUUAUGUAUGCUUGGGUAGCUUAACCAAAAAUACAUUGAGGUUAAGAAAGAUUUCUAAGGAUUGAUUUGGAGGGUUGCAGAAAUUCGUGUCGUAUAAGCUAAAGGGUGAAGGUUCAUAUGGAUUGUGAGUAUUUAGGAUUGGGAAGUUAUUAUGAUUUUAGACACAAAUAUAAGGUCUUGGUAUAUGUUUGAGUUCAAAUGGAUUGUCUGAUGUGAUGUUGGUUAUGAAAGUUUGACUUAAAAUAAGUUAGUUUUUCUUGAGGGUAAGCAAAUGAUAAGUGUGGGGUAUUUGAUAUUGCCAUAUUUAUACACAUUUUAGGCAAUAUUUUAAUACGUUUUUAUUAAUAUUUUGGUUAUUUGCAAAGAUAUAUGAUACUUAUGAGAUUAAAUCAUAUUUUGCAGCCAAAAGGAACAAUCUUGAAGAAUAACGAACCUUAUUGACAAGAAGUGGAACUUUGGAGGAUUGAAGAAUUAAAAGAAGAAAAGUCAUUGUGAAAAGCUCAUAUCAUGACGUGGACAUCAUUUACACGACGUGGAGUGAUUGUUCUAGAAGAUAAGCGCACGGAAAGUCAGAGUCCUUGGCCGAUAAGGAUUUAUCUCAAGUACACGAUGUGAAAUUCCUAUUAAUGUCGUAACAUGCGAAAAUUCCCAAAACUAUAUAUACUCAUUUACUUUCAUGAUUUAAAGAGGCUUAGAAGAUUUUUAGAGAGAUUUCUGAUUGUUCAGAAAAAAUGAGAUCUAACAUUCAUUGAAGGAUAUUUAACUGAAGAUCAAGAGAUUGAAGAUAAUAUCCAUCAUCUUAGUUUUGUACACUAUGAUUAUUUCUUUUCUUAUUGGAUUUAUGUUUGUAUUAUCAACCAUGAGUAGUUGAGUCUAGUAGCUUCCAUUUAGAUAGAUAAAGCUUUAACUCUAUGGUUUAGUUUAUCGAUUUAUAGAUUUUAAUUGUUGGUUAUGAGCUUGUGUUUGAUUAUCUCUAUCUUGCAUGUUAAUAUGUGAUACUUUAAUUGCCUGAAUUUAGGUUCUUUGUAGCUCAGUGAACAUUAAAUUACAUGAACUUGUUACCUAGUAGUUUAGUAACCAUUAAAUUGCUAGAGAUAUGAUCGACCUAAUCUUAGACAAGUAAUAAAAGUAACUAAUUUAGCUGUGCUGGAGAACAUAAAUUGUAAGCACAAUUAUGUUUCUUUAGAUCAAUCUUACAUAGCUUAUCUGUAAUUUAUAAUUGAUUAUGUGUUUGUGCAACAUCCCCAUUUUCACGGCCAUAAAAGACCGAUUUUGUUAUGCUUUAUAAAAAUCAGAGUACUUCUUUUAAUAAAAAUGUUGCGGAAUUUGUUUCUAGUAAACCAUGAUAAAUACGUUCUCAAAGCAUUUCUAAAGAAAUGUAUUUUUAUUCAUUUUAAAACAUUUGGUAUGUCAUUGUCAAUACAGAAACAUAAACAUAAAUAGAACUUACAUUCAUUUACACUAGUAAUCUACACCUAUUUAAUCUCUCAGUGUAAUGUAACAUCGUGUUGGAACAUGUGAUUUAAAUAAGCUUGAGUGGGUCAGGUUGGGAAACCUGGUGAGUAUAUAGGGUUUUCAACCCACAAUAAUGUAAUUAUUAUGUUUAAACAUCAAACAAGCAAGCCAAUCACCCAUCCCCAUUAUCUUCUUUACUCUUAAGGAUCUACCCUAAGAAUUAGUCACAUAGUCGCCAGGGUUUAGGCACUGAGUCUCAUAGUCGCCAGGGUUUACACAACAGACACUAAGUCGCAUAGUCGCCAGGGUUUAGAGUACACCGGAUGAACACAUCUUUCACAACACGUACAGGUUGCGAGCCUGGUAGUGUUCCACUGGAUUGUCUAGAAUAGUCCGUGGUUGUCAUCCAUACUCUGCUAGAUGAAGGGGCCAUCGCUUGACUCAUCGCUUAGGUCAUCGCUUGGCUCAUCGCUUCACUCAUCUCUUAGGUCAUCGCUUCUCACCAUAAUUUACCACUCAUAUAUCAUCACUCAUAAAUCAUCUCAUCUUUCAUCGCUCAUCAUUUAUCUCAUCUCUAAUCUACAAAUGUUUUACCCAACAUAUUUUGUAGAUAUAAAAUACAUAUACAGUUUAAAUCAUUUAAAACAUGUAUAAAAUCGUUCAUCUAGCAUAGACAAAAAAUAUACAGAUAAUAUGCACACGUAGCAUGUAAUUUAUAUAAAAUACUUCAUAUCUAUGUGUAAGAUGAAAGUAACUAUGCACUCACCUAUAAAGGUGGUGAUUCCGAACUCAGACAGCACUUCGCUUCUUAAAAAUAAUUUGCUUCGAUGAAACCUAGUACUAUUACCACUAGAUUUUAGUCUAAUAUUCACCGUGACUAAUUAUUAGUCUUAUUAUUAUUAUUAUUAUUAUUAUUAUUAUUAUUAUUAUUAUUAUUAUUAUUAUAUAAGUGUUUAAACAAUAUUUUCCAACCACUAUGUACAGACAGAGGCCAGACAUAAAACACCGGAGGGCAGGACCAUUUUGGCAUAUAGCACUUCUGAAAUCCAACAACCCUAUGCAGCCCUUUAAAUCAGAUUCUCCAUACCGCGAGUAGUUAAAAAGAUAUUAUAACGACACUUAUAUAAGUCAUAAUAAUAGCCUAAAUAUUUAUUAUAAGUUCAUAAUAACAAUACUAAUUUUAAAUAUAAACUAUAUUUAAAAUAGGGUAAGCAUAACUUACUUACAAGGGGAUUUUAGCUAGGAGUCGGGCUCUGCAGGGGCAGAACUUCGUCGCUGAAUCUUUCUAAGAAAGAUUCGUGCAGCGCUUCAGCGCUCACCUUACUAUACUAAAACUACAGAAAGAGAAGUCGAAUCACGAGGGACCGAAAUGCUCGGGGGAUAAGGAGAGAAAGACUCUUGAAUCAAGAGAAUGGUGCAAGAAAUAUGAGAGCCCAAGGCUCUUAUUUAUACUAAUUGAAUUUUCAAAAACUACCCUCCAUAAUUACUUAAUGACCUUUUAGUUAUAUAAACAACUAAACACCCCUCUAUAAUACUAUUAUAAAUGGAUUUAAUGAUAUUUGUACUAAACUAAUGUCGAAAGAACUCAACAUUAGUCUUAUAAUGACCGCAUCGUCGAUACCUUUCUAAUGAUAUAUACAUAUGUAUAUAUAUAUAUAUAUAUAUAUAUAUAUAUAUAUAUGUGAGUGUGUGUGUGUACGUAUAUAUGAUUUAUACUUUAUUUUAAUACGUAAAUAUGCUAUUAUAAUUUAUAACUCAUUCCUACGAGCUCUGUUUUUUAUGCUCUUUAUAUCCACGCGUAGGAAGAGACACACUCUACAACUUUCAUUNACCAUCUGGUGGCAAGACUUGGGGAGAAAGCAAUUGCCAAGAUUGUGCCACAUCACCCAUUUUCGCACAACACACUCCCGACUUCUAAAAUCCACAGCUUUAUCCGUUUUUUACAUUCUUUAUAUCCAUGCAUAGGUAAAAAUAAGAUCUACAACUUUCAUUUUGACUCCGUCGACUAGUUCUCGACCGAUCUUAAAUUUAACAGUACGAGAAGAUUAUACUGUUAAAUGUCCGCGUAAAAUUCAUAACUUCUACAUACGAACUCUGUUUUCGUCUGUCUUUUUACCGUUGAGUUCCUAUUAAUGAGAUCUUCAAUACUCAUUUAGGCCGUGUAGGCCAAAAACCGCUCGAUCUAAAAUUCGAGUUUCGGGUUGUGCACUGCUAUGCCAAAUCUUAGAAAAUUCAUAACUUACUUAUACGAAGUCAGAUUUGGGCGUUCUUUUUUUGUAUGUUCUCGGUUUACCGUAUGCUACAACUUUGUUUUAGUUUAAUAAGUCCAAAAAGUCAUCUAUCAUAAAUUCACUAUUUACGUCUCCCGGUGUCGUGCCGGUUUUGCCGUAAAACUUCAACGGACCAUAACGUCUUCGUUAUAACUCGGAUUUCGGCAUUCUUUAUAUGUAUGGAACCCUUGUAACAUAUACUACCACUUUGUUAAGAUUACUCCUUCUAAAUAAUAUUCCAUCAAUAACUCAUUUUUUAAGCUUAUUGUAUCUAAAUUGACUAGCCCGAAUAUGCGGGAGUUACAGUUUGCUAAUGUAUGACCAUACUUAGUUUUACAUGAAUUAGUUAGUAAAUUUAGACUAUAAUUUGUAAUAAAAUAAUAAUUGAUAACCAACAUUAAUAAUCCAUAAUCAGUAGCUAACCAUAGAGGAGAAGUGGAUUCAAACUAAAUGGAAGUGUUUUUAGUAAUUGAUAGAAUUGCUAGUUAAGUGAUUAAGUUUGUCUGAACUUGCAAAAUUAGAUAAAAACCAAUAAAACUUGUGCUUGAUUUUAGGUUAGUUUUUAGUAGUUAAAUUAGUUAAUCAAAUAUGUUCCCUGUGUUCGAUACUUACCUAUUGAGCUAUACUAUUCUUAACAAGGUACACUACCAUAGGUAAUAAUUAGUUUCAUUAGUAUGAUAAACUAGUGCAUCAUUAAGUUUAAGUAUCAUCAACCAUGUCCAAAAAGUCAACGAUCAAAGUUAACCUCAGCUGGUCUCCACGUUGUUGCCACCCAUAGGCUACGUCGUUGCACUCCAAGACAAAACUGUCGGGACCCUCCUCAGUCGCCAAGUCAUGGAAACCAAAACACCAUGUCGUAGGAAUUGGGUUCCAUCAGCUUAACAAAUUUAGCUCUUAACUUGUUAAGCCAUUCCUUCAAACUUUCCAAAACCCUUCCUAAAGCCUAAUACUUCACAAAGAUCGGUGCUUUUCAGUAUUGCAUGCCCAAUACAAAUCUAAUACUCAAACUUAGGUCAAAAAGAAGAAAUACCACAAAGGAUCACAUGCAUUAAGCCCAAAAUAGCAAGAAACUUCAUAUCUGGAAGAAGGACCCCAACAAUCCAUAAAUUGCUAACUUUAUGGAUUUCAAACAUUCUACCCAACCCAACAAAGAGAAAAGUGGGCAAAAACCUGGAUCUAGCAUGCUCAUAACAUAAAGCUUGAGUCUUGGAUACUUACAAUGGUCCAUAAGUAAACAAGAAAAUGAUGAUGAGACUUGCAGUUAGACCUCUACCCAACCCAACAAAGAGAAAAGUGGGCAGAAACCUAGUUCUAGCAUACUCAUAACAUAAAGCUUGAGUCUUGGAUACUUACAAUGGUCCAGAAGUAAACGAGAAGAUGAUGAUGAGACUUGAAGUUAGACCAAUGCUUCAACAAUGAUUCUUUUUCCUUCAAAACACAAAAAGUGACCACAAAAGCAAAGAUAUCCUACGACACGGCUAGGGUUUGGAUGGGGUAGUUUCUCAGAGGGUGGAGGCUACCAAAUGAGACAAUCCUAGGAGUUAGUGCCCUUAAUUAGGGCACCAAACCCACAAAUUAGGGUUUUGGCCCAAAAUAGUCCCUACGUCGUGGCCAACAUAAUGCCACGUCGUGAGAGACUUAAAUGAAGUCGUGUUCAAUCUGCGUCAUCCCCCAUCGUGGUGGUGCUUCCACCACGUCCUGGCCUUCCAAUUCACAUAAAAAUUAAAUAAAGAUUAUACAUUGAAGACUCGUAUGUUACAUUAAUGAAAUAAAUUAGAACAAAAAAAUAGGGGGUUGGGUGUAAAGAUAAUGAACAAGCUUCAUAUUUUCGAGUCUGAUAAAAAUUGAUGAACAUGGCAACUUUAGUCCCGUCUUUCUAAAAAUAUUGUGUGAAUCAAAUAAAAUAGGAUGAUGAGUAGGUUAGAACUAAUUUGCAUAUGUGGGUUAAAGAUCGAAGAACAAGGACCAGAAUUAAAAAUCGAUGAACAUGUUAGAAUGAUUUAGCCGUAUGUGUUGCGUGUGCAUUCAAUCUCCCUUAAAAUAAAACUAUUGCUUCACAAUACUCCCCCUUCAUUUUCGCCUGUAAUUGGUAGGUGUAUGUGGGGUAUGGUAUCCAAAACCAUGAAAAUGUCGACACCAUGGUCCAUUGCCAAACCUUGAAAAGUACAUGUCAUUUCAUAUUUAAUAUUGCACUGGAUGGAUCGUAGUGAUCGUUGGAGGAUAAAUUUUGGUUCUUCAAUGUCAAAGUGGGUCCACAUGGAUAUAUCAAGGUUGCUAUGGAGACCUUUCACUAUAUGAAGUCAAUGUACACAUCAUCAAUCUAAUUGGAAAACGGUAAUUUUAAGUAAAAUGAUAUUUUAGACAUGUAAAUUUCAAGUUUAAUAGUCUAACAGGUCAAAAAAUAAAAAUAAAAGGUUGUUUAAAGCCAAAAUUAAAUCUUUCAUGUCAAUAACUUUUUUAAAAAUUAAUCGUUUAACAACGGAAAACGUGUUCUGAUUUUAUUUUUACCAAUCAUCACGUGUUUAUAUUAUAAAAAUGAUUGUGAUUAUUAUUUAAUAUUUAAUGGUACUUAUAAUAGUUUCAUUUGUAUCAUUCAAUGAAGUUUAUUUUGUGCAAAUUUUACUUUUAUACUAGUCAAUAUUCAUUAGACUAUUAGGUGUGGGCAAUAUGUUAUUACAUGUUACCACAUCCAAAAGGUACCAUGUCAGCAUCCUACUCAUACAUGGGUGUUAUAACACCCAAAGUGGAAAUGGACAACAUCUAAUAACAUAUGAUAACACCAAUUAUUUUCUAUUUUAUUUUUUAUUUUCUUGAUGUUUCUUUUUCUAUAUUUCGAAUUUGGUUUUAUUUAUUUAUUUAUAUCAUAGUAUUUAUAUUUAUCAUAUAACUUAAAUCAUAAAUUAAAAAUAACAUUUGAAAAGAAAAAUAAAAUUUUAAUAAAUCUUAAAUUAAAAACAACAUUAAAAAAAGUACAACAAAACACAAAAACAUUUAAAAACCUAAAAAAAAAAGAUGAUAAAACCUACAUUUUUUGGCCUAAAACAAUUCAACUUCAUCUUCGUGACCAACAUUGAUGUAAUUCGCCAAGUCUUCACAGAGUUGCUUGUGUUUUCGUUGAUCUUGAAUAUCAACCACUCCAUGUAAAUAUUCUGAUGUCCCUGGUUGAAAUUGCACAUGCCUUGGUUCCGUAGGCGAAUACGUUGCAAUAUUGUGUCCUUUAUCUUCGACAACCAUGUUAUGCAUUAUGAUACAUGCAAACAUGAUAUACCGUAGAGUAUUUAACUCAUAAGGUCUCGCUGCAUGUUCAACUAUGUGCCAGUUUGAUUUAAAAACUCCAAAAGCACGUUCAACGUCCUUAAGUGCUCCUUCUUGUCGUCUCUUGAAAUAUAUUUGUCCCUUGGGUCUAUUGGGUGUCGAAACGCCUUCACAAAAAUCGAAUAUUGUGGAUAUAUUCCAUCUGUAAGGUAAUACCCAAACUUAUAUUCAUUUCCAUUCACUGUGAAAGGAGCAUCCGGGGUUUUCCUAACAAAAGAUCGUCAAAUAUUGGUGAUUGAUCGAGAACGUUGGCGUCAUUGUUAGAACCCGCAACCCUGAAAAAGCAUGUCAAAUCCAUAAAUCUUGUGAAGCAACAACCUCUAAUACCAACGAAGGCGCUCCAUGAUGACCGCUCGAAUAAUGGCAUUUCCACGCCACGGGGCAAUUUCUCCAUUUCCAGUGUGUGUAAUCAAUGCUUCCAAGCAUACCCGAAAAACCAUGUAUUUCUUCAUGCGCCGUAUAUAGUUGUUGCAUAUCAUGCAACAAAGGUUUGCGCAAGUAUUGGUCACCGAAGGUUUCGACAACACCUCUUGCCAAUAAAUAUAAACUUUCUCGUACGGUCCUUUCAGACAUUCUCAUAUAAUCGUCAAUAGAAUUGGGUGACUCCCCCAUUGCCAUAAGUUUAAUUGCAGCAAUACAUUUCUGCAACCCUAUGUAGCCUCGUUUGCCUUUAGCAUCAUAUCUCAAUUAGAAAAAUUCAUACCUAAAUAAAUAUUAAACAUGUAUAAAUUGUAUUUAUUUUAUUUAAAAGUUACAUUUUAUAAAUUAUAAAAGUUGAAACAAACGAUACCUAAAUAUAUAUUAAACAUGAAAAAUUGUAUUAAUUUUAUCUAAAAGUGACAUUUUAUAAAUUAUAAAAGUUGAAACAAACGAUAUCUUGCUUCCAUAGCGUUGGCUAUCCUUUCAAACACAUUUUUUCGCAAACGAAAUCUUCUUUUGAAAUCGUUUGGUUGGUAGACACAAUUUUCCGCAAAGUAAUCAUUGACUAGCCGUCUAUGCCCUUCCUCACGAUCUCUAUUUAACGCUACAUGUCGCGUGAUUAGUGGAGCUGGAUCUGGCUGUAGUAGGCUAUUUGUAUAAUACAGGUACAUCGUACUCAUGAACAAAUCGUCUUCGUCGUUAUCAUCGUUGUACGGAUGUACCAGAUCAAAUUGAUUCAUAUUUUGGUUUUGAAAUAUUGAAAGAAAUAUGUAGAGAAGUGUAAUACCGUUAAAUUUCAAACAAUUUUUUUGUUCAUUUAAUAUUAAUAAAACAUUUCAUUUCCAAAUCAUCCUAAAAUCAUGUAUCCAAUAUUUUCACAAAAUAAAACACAAUACAUAAUCCAUAUCCCAAGAUCUCAAAAGCAUAUCAUCUGCAAGUGUGUACUGAUCAUGCCGGCGCCUUCCCGCGAUCAUCACUGGUACCUGAAACACAUAACAUACAAACGGUAAGCAUAAAUGCUUAGUGAGUUUCCCAAAAUACCACAUACAACACUUAUGCCUUUCCAGGCCAUAACUCUACAGGAUUUUCCGAUCCAAGUGUCUCAGGGGAUUUCCAUCCCAUAACUCUGUUGACCUUCCUGCCCAUACUCUGUUGACCUUCCGGUCCAUAUCAUCAUACUCAUAUCAUAACAUAUCACAUAUAUAACAUGCAUCACAUAAACAUCAUACACAUAAGACCUUCCGAUCAUACAUAAUUACCCCAUCGGGUAUAGCAUAGUAAGAAGACUCACCUCACUAAUGUCGGAUAAUCACUCGUGCUCGAUUCCCCGAAUUACCGUCCUCCUAUAUCAUAAGUACAUCUCUAAUUAAUACUUUCCUGACUUAGUUUGACUAACACUAUUAAGUCAACACUAGUCAACCCUGGUCAACGCUGGUCAACGGUCAACCUUUGACCCGACCCGUCGAGUCUUGCAUAGACUCAUCGAGUCCAUACAUGAACUCGAGUCCUUCAAAUCCUUUCUGACUCACCGAGUCACUCACCCAACUCGGCGAGUCAUCCACUCAUCUAAGUCACGGGACAACCCACUUCGACUCGUCGAGUCUGCUCAUGGACUCGGCGAGUUCAUUUCAUGCACAACCUCAAACAACCUUCUGAGGUCAGAUCUAUUCCUCUAAUCCUUAGAUCUAACCUUCCCAAUCUCAAUAAUCACAUAAAGUCUCUAUCUUGAUGCACAUGCAACAUCUAUAUGACCAUAUAUGAUGAUUUAGCCCCAAAUACCAUAACCCAAGGUCAUAACCUCCAUUGUUCUUCAUAAAGCUUGAUGAGUAAGGCUCUCUAGACCUCUAUGGAUCCAGAUCCUAAGCCUCAUCACCAAAAAGGGACAAUUUGGACAUCAAAUCAACCUAACAAAGGGUCCAAGAAACCCUAAAUCCAUAUAUUCUUCAUAAAACAGAAGAAGAGCCGAAUUACUACCUCAAAUGCGAUGAUCUUAGCUUCAAAUCCAAAGAAUAGCAACCUCCUUUGCUUCCUCUUGGCUAGGACCUCCUUCUUCUUGCUAAACAACACCACAAAAGUCAAGAAUGACUUCUUUUCUCUAUCAAAACGCUCAAGCACUAUAGGGUUUCUCUCUAUGGAUUGGUAGCCGCAAAUGAAGGCCACAAGGGCCUUUAAAUAGGUCCCAAACCCGAGAAAUUAGGGUUUCUUUCGUUAGCUCUCACUCGUCCAGUCACUCCCCUGACUUGUCAAGUCCACUCAUUAACCACGUCAUCCAGUCGCGACCAGACUCGACGAGUCUAAGCACCAACUCCUCGAGUCACCUUACAUAAUUACAGAAAUACAACAUAAAUUAAUAUACCUGCGAAACAGGGUGUUACAAUUCUCCCCCACUAGAAUCAGACUUCGCCCUUGAAGUCUCGCUCAGGAAAUAACUCUGGAUACUGUUCACGCAUCUCUAACUCCGGCUCCCAAGUCAGCUCGGACCCCUUCCGAUGUUGCCACUGAACAUGAACCAAUGACACCUCCUUGUUUCUCACAACCUUGAUCCUCCUAUCCCGAAUCGCGCUCGGCCUCUCGACAUAGUUCAGGCUCGUAUGCACCUGAAUGUUCUCUAAUGGAACCACUGCCGACUCAUUGGCGAUGCACUUCCUCAACUGAGAUACGUGGAAGGUUUGAUGGAUCUGAUUCAACUCCGCAGGUAGCUCCAAACGAUACACUACCCUACCCACCCUGGCGGUCACACUGAAAGGACCAAUAUACCGAGGCCCCAACUUGCCUCUCUUCCUAAAUCGAAUCACCCCUUUCCAAGCUGAGACUUUUUGGAGAACGAAAUCACCCACCUGAAACACGAGCUCUGACCGUCGUCUAUCUGCAUAACUCUUCUGAUGGCUCUAGGCUGUCAACAACCUCUGUCUAACCUGCUGAAUCUGCUCGGUGGUCUGUAGUACUAUCUCUGUGCUACCCAUCACCCGCUACCCUACUUCUCCUCAGCAAAUGGGAGUCUGACACCUCCUCCCAUAUAACAACUCAAAAGGAGGCAUACCGAUGCUCGAAUGAUGGUUGUUGUUAUAGGAAAACUCAGCCAAAGGUUGAUACAUGUCCCAACUCCCUCCACAAUCCAAUACACAUGCACGAAGUUGUUGGAUUAGUAUCUAAGUCCAUAACUAUUUUGGUAUGUACUUGACCCGAUGGUGCAUGGUCCUUUUGGGUUGCCUUCACCAAAGCAACUUGAUAGGAUGAAUUAUGGAGAGAAAGGAUUAAAUAUGAUUUAUUAAUAUAUUAUGGGAAUAAUAUAUUAAAGGAGAAAUCAUAUUGUUUAAUUAAUAUUAGUCAAUAAUUAAUUGGUAAUUAGUUUUGUGACUAAAAGAGAUUAAUUAAACUUAAGGGACUGGAAUUAUAAUUAUAAGAUAAUUGCAAUUUGGGCCAUGGAUUGCCUUAUAUUAUAAGGUGGACGAAUUCUAUGGGAGAAGCCCAUAUGAAAUCGUCCAAGGCCUUGAGAAAAGGGCUCCAUGGGUUGCUUAGGGCUUAAGCAACCAAAUUAGGGUUUCCUUGUUUGAUAACCCUAAUAGCCUCACUAUAUAUAGAACCCUUAAGGCUCAAAAACGUGGGGAACUUCUCUUCUAGGGUUAGAACACGUUUUGGGCAGCCUCCAUCCUCUCUCCUCUUCAUCCUCUUGCUUAUGGUGUUUGUGAACCAUUAGAGGAGUGACACUUGUGACUCUAAGCCUUCCAAAGUCAAUACAAGGAAAUUUGGGAUUGUUAUUGCUACAUAACAAUCAAGGUAACAUUAUAAACCUAUUCUCAUGUUAAUAUGAUUACUUAAAUGCUAGAAUUAGGGUUUAUAGUCUUGGAUAACUUGCAUGUACAAUAAAGAAACCUAGAUCCAAGCAUUAGGGUUUGUAUGAGCACAUAGGAUAUCUUAUGACCAAAACCCAUCAGAAGCAUGUCCUCUAGCGUCUUAAUAGUCCGCUCACUCUGACCAUCGCUCUGAGGGUGAUAGGCAGUGCUGAAAUGCAAUCUCAUACCCAACUCCUCAUGAAGCUUCUUCCAGAACCUGGAAGUAAAAUGUACAUCCCGAUAUGACACAAUCGAAAUCGGUACCCCAUGCCGAGACACUAUCUCCCUCACAUACAUCUCUGCUAACUUCUCUGCAGAAGAGCUCUCAUUGAUAGGAAGAAAGUGGGCACUCUUCGUUAGUCGAUCCACUAUCACCCAAAUCGCAUCGACACCCCUUGGGGUUCUGGGUAACUUGGUGAUGAAAUCCAUAGAGAUAUGUUCCCACUUCCACUGGGGAACCUCGAGUGGCUGCAACUUGCCAUGCGGGCGCUGGUGCUCGGCCUUAACCUGACGACAGGUCAAGCACCUCUCUACAACCCACGCUACAUCCCUCUUCAUGCAUGGCCACCAAUAAUCUCUCUUCAGAUCCAAAUAUAUCUUGGUGGCCCUAGGAUGGAUCGAGCACCUCUAUCGGUGCGCCUCCUCCAUCAAGAUGCUACGUGCCCCAACAAUAAACGGCACCCAAAUACGACCCUGAAAUGUCGUAAGCCCUCGGCUAUCAGUCACAAACUCAGAUACUUGCCCAAUCACCUGCUCUUUCUUACGAUUUUCCGGUCUCACAGCCUCGGCCUGGGCCUCUUGAAUGGCAUCCAACAUCGGAGUCAUCACAGUCAUCCUCAUACACAUAUCUCGGAUCGGGGCACUCUCUGCCCUCCGAAUCAGGGAAACAGCUACCACAUUCGCCUUGCCCGGGUGGUACAGGAUCUCAUAAUCGUAAUCCUUUACCACAUCCAACCAUCUCCUCUGCCGCAUGUUCAAGUUGGGCUGAUCCAUCAAAUACUUCAAACUCUUGUGGUCCGUAUAUAUGGUACACCGAACCCCAUAUAGAUAGUGGCGCCAGAUCUUAAGGGCGAACACUACUGCCCUUAACUCUAGAUCAUGAGUGGGAUACCUCACUUCAUGAGGCUUCAUCUACCUUGAUGCAUACGCUAUCACAUGCCCCCUAUGCAUAAGCACUGCGCCUAACCCAGACAUCGAUGCAUCGCAGUAAACCACAAAAUCAUCAACUCCCUUUGGAAGGGAUAACACCGGGGUUUCGCACAACUUCUGGCGAAGAGUCUCAAACGAGGUCUGCUGCUCUGGACCCCAUGAGAAGGCAACACCCUUCCGGGUCAACCUAGUGAGUGGCACUGUAAUCAUGGAGAAAUCCUGAAUGAAUCUCCGAUAAAAACCGGCCAACCCCAGAAAACUCCUGAUCUCGGUAGCAGACUUUGGCACUUCCCAACUCAUCACUGCCUCAAUCUUGGCUGGAUCAACCAAUAUCCCAUCCUGAUUAACGAGAUGCCCCAGUAACUAGACCUCCCGUAACCAAAAAUCACACUUGGAGAAUUUGGCAUAAAGCCUCUCCGAUCUCAACACCUCAAGAACCUCUCUUAAGUGCUCCUCAUGCUGCUCCCGGGGAUCUAGAAUACACUAGAAUAUCAUCAAUGAGCACAAUCACCAAUCGAUCCAGCAUCGGCCUACAUACUCUGUUCAUGAGAUCCAUGAAUGCUGCUGGCGCAUUGGUGAGCCCGAAAGGCAUCACCACGAAAUCAUAGUACCCAUAACGCGUCUUGAACGCCGUCUUCUGGAUAUCCUCAUCACGCACCCUCAUCUGAUGAUAUCCACACCUCGGAUCAAUCUCGGAGAACCAAGAUGCCCCCUGCAGCGGAUCAAAUAAGUCAUCAAUCCUCGACAACGGAUAACGGUUCUUAACCGUUAACUUCUUCAACUCCCGGUAAUCAAUACACAUCCGGUGUGAACCAUCCUCCUUCUUAACGAAGAGGAUCGGAACUCCCCAAGGCAAGCUGCUCAGACAAAUAAACCCCUUUCCCAACAGCUCCUGCAGUUGUGAGGAUAACUCCUGCAUCUCCGGCGGUGCUAGGCGAUAAGGCGCCUGAGCGAUAGGUGUGGCUCCGAGAAUCAAGUCGAUGUGAAACUCCACCUGCCUUUCGAGAGGCACACCCGACAACUCCUCAGGAAAUACGUCCGGGAACUCACGCACUAUCGGGACAUCACCAAAAACACUUUGCCUCCCAGAGGCCUCCCGUGUAUCCAUCACAUAGGCUAUGAACCCCUUGCAGCCCUGCUGCAAACUCUGCCUCGCCCUGGCAGCCGAACAGAAUGCUGACCCACUAUGAGUCCCCUCACUAGAAACUGUCAGCACUUCCCCACUAGGAUCUCGAAUCAUCACCAGCUAUUGCUCGCAGUCUAUUACUGCCCCAAAUCGGCUCAACCAAUCCAUGCCCACGAUAACACAUAUGUCCCCAUUGCAAUUGGGACCAGAUCUAUCGGAAACCCAACGCCGAAGAUCUCAAGUACACACCCCCGAAUCACAUUUGUGGCAUACACUGCUCGCUCGUCAGCUAUAGAAACACGCAAAGGUCGACUCAUCACCUCUCGUUGGAUACUGAUGUGCCUACUGAAUUCUAAUGACACAAAAGACCGACUCGCACCCGAGUCAAAUAACACCAAAGCAGGUACAGAAUUCACAAGAAAAGUACCUAUGUAUAACAUAAUAGAAACACAUGAUCUCAUUACAACAUAAAUAAAUAUGAACAUAAUACAUACUAGCCACAACGUCGGGUGCUGCACGGACCUCCUCCGAUGUCAGCUGGAACGCUCUCCCUCGUGCCUUCGGCGCCUCGACCUUCACCGGCCGACCCUCAAUAGCUCGCGUAGCAGCAGGGACAGAUCCCUGUGGCGUCCCCUGUGCUGUCCCAUUCAACUGCAGACACUCGGCCCUCCGAUGUCCGGUCUGGUUGCAAUGAAAGCAAACCAUGAACCCCUUGGGGCAAUCCUUGGCUAUAUGUCCCUCCUUGCCACACUUGUAGCAAGCACCAGAUCUACAAACCCCAUCAUGACCCUUGCCGCACUUCCCGCAAGUGCGGCCCUUCUGGCCCCCAAAUCUCGAAUCAGCGGGCUUUCCCCGCUUGGCCGCCGGCUGAGACUGUGCCGGUCGGCGAUCCCUGCUCUGAGACUCGGCCUCCUCCCUGGCCUGAAUCUCCAGCUCAAUCUCCCUCUUUCGGGUAUUUUCCUGGAGCUCAGUAAAUGUUUGGUAUGAUGAGUUCGUCGCGAACUCACGAAUGUCUCUACUCAGAACGCUCAGAUAUCGGCUCAUACGUGCCUGCUCGGUCGACACGUGCUCAGGGCAGAACAUCGCCCUCUCAUGAAACAUCCUGGUAAUCAUAGUAACUGACUCAGUACCCUGCUUGAGGGUCAAGAACUCCUGAGCCAACCGUUCCCUUUCCACCGGGGGAACGUACUCGUCUUUGAACAUGGUGGUGAACCUCUCCCAGGUCACCGCUGAAAUCUCCGCAGAACUAAGAUGCGCAGUCACAAACUUCCACCAGUCCUUCGCUCCCAAACGAAGCUGGUUCAGCGCAAACUGAACCCUCAGAUGCUCUAGACACGAACAGGUGUAGAAGCAUCCCUCAAUGUCAAAUAUCCAUCUCAUCGCAACAAUCGGUCCUGCGUCCCAUGAAACUCUGGUGGCUUCGUGUUGCUGAACUCCCAGUAAAGCAACGAGUCACCCACCUGUGGCCUGGCGGCAGCGACAUCUGCAGUGGCCGCAGCAACAGUAGCAUCCGUAAGAGCAGCAUACCGCUCAUCAAAGGUCUCAAUCAGUGUGGUCUUAAUAGACCCAAAAUCUCUGGAAUCUCAACUCGGAUGGCAGCAGCCACCUCCUCAUGAAUCAUCUGGCGGAGCUCCUCAUCGCUCACGCCUCCCUCGCUGGUCUCUGGUCUGUGGCGCGUCCCAACGAUGAUGUCUCUGAAAUACAAUAUAAAAAUAUCAAGGACUCGCUUGAGUAUACUCGCACUCGAUAACCCAACCCUACUUGAUUCCUAGUACCCUAAGGAUUCCUACUUGGACUGCACACUUAUCCGGUGUUUCCAGUAGUAUGGGCCCAAUACUACCUUCCACACCGCACCAGUAUUCAUCCUAAGUCAUCCUCCAAGGAUCCUAAGUCAUAAGUACUCUAUCUCUUUCCACACAUAAACUACCCUUCGGUAGACUCUCAUAGCACAUCACUGCUACUUACUUAUUCUAAAGCAUCCCAUGGCAGCAGAAAUCUUCCUAGGCUAAAACAUCGCAAAUCAGGCCACUCUAGUCCUAAUAUGAAUACCUAGCCUACUCUUCUAGUCCUAAUAUGAAUACCUAGCCUACUCUAGCAUGCAUAACACAUUUCAAUAUAUCUCAUAACACAUAAUGUAAGGGUAAUUUGGGAAAGCACCGUUCGGGCGUUGGCUGAUCAUACACACUGCUUCCUUGCGUAUCUUCCAAAUUCUUUUACUCUUUAGAAAAAUUGUUUAUUUUAUGAAAAUCUUUCACAAAUCCUCAGUUUGAGUUCAAAUACACCCAAAGGUGAAUCCGAAUCCCUCAAACCAAGGCUGUGAUACCAAUUUGUAACACCGUUAAAUUUCAAGCAAUUUUUUGUUUCAUUUAAUUUUAAUAAAAACAUUUCAUUUCCAAAUCAUCCUAAAAUCAUGUAUCCAAUAUUUUCACAAAAUAAAACACAAUACAUAAUCCAUAUCCCAAGAUCUCAAAAGCAUAUCAUCUGCAAGUGUGUACUGAUCAUGCCGGCGCCUUCCCGCGAUCAUCACUGGUACGUGAAACACAUAACAUACAAACGGUAAGCAUAAAUGCUUAGUGAGUUCCCCAAAAUACCACAUACAACACUUACGCCUUUCCAGGCCAUAACUCUACAGGAUCUUCCGAUCCAAGUGUCUCAGGGGAUUUCCAUCCCAUAACUCUAUUGACCUUCCGACCCAUAAUCUGUUGACCUUCCGCCAUAUCAUCAUACUCAUAUCAUAACAUAUCACAUAUAUAACAUGCAUCACAUAAACAUCAUACACAUAAGACCUUCUGGUCACACAUAAUUACCCCAUCGGGUAUGGCAUAGUGAGAAGACUCACCUCGCUGAUGUCGGAUAAUCACUUGUGCUCGAUUCCCCAACUUAUCGUCCUCCUAUAUCAUAAGUACAUCUCUAAUUAAUACUUUCCUGACUUAGUUUGACUAACACUAUUAAGUCAACACUAGUCAACCCUAGUCAACGGUCAACCUUUGACCCGACCCGUCAAGUCUUGCAUAGACCCGUCAAGUCCAUACGUGAACUCGAGUCCUUUGAAUCCUUUUGGACUCACCGAGUCACUCACCCAACUCGGCGAGUCAUCCACUGAUCUAAGUCAUGGGACAACCCGCUCCAACUUGUCGAGUCUGCUCAUGGGCUUGACGAGUUCAUUCCAUGCACAACCUCAAACAACCUUCUGAGGUCAGAUCUAUUCCUCUAAUCCUUAGAUCUAACCUUCCCAAGCUCAAUAAUCUUGAUGCACAUGCAACAUCUAUAUGACCAUAUAUGAUGAUUUAACCCUAAAUACCAUAGCCUAAGGUCAUAACCUCCAUUGUUCUUCAUAAAGCUUGAUGAGUAAGGCUCUAUGGACCUCUAUGGAUCCAGAUCCAAAGCCUUAUCACCAGAAAGGGACUAUUUGGACAUCAAAUCAACCUAACAAAGGGUCCAAGAAACCCUAAAUCCAUAUAUUUUUCAUAAAACAGAAGAAGAGCCGAAUUACUACCUCAAAUGUGAUGAUCUUAGCUUCAAAUCCACAGAAUAGCAACCUCCUUUGCUUCCUCUUGGCUAAGACCUCAUUCUUCUUGCUAAUCAACACCACAAAGGUCAAGAAUGGCUUCUUUUCUCUAUCAAAAUGCUCAAGCACUCUAGGGUUUCUCUUAAUGGACUGGUAGCCACAAAUGACGGCCAUAUGGGCCUUUAAAUAGGUCCCAAAUCCGAGAAAUUAGGGUUUCUUUCGUCAGCUCUGACUCGGCGAGUCACUCCCCUUACUCGUCGAGUCCCCUCAUUAACCACGUCAUCCAGUCGCGACCAGACUCGACGAGUCUAAGCACCAACUCGUCGAGUCACCUUACAUAAUUACAGAAACACAACAUAAAUUAAUAUACCUGGGAAACUGGGUAUUACAAGAAGUAUGUGUUUUGUAGGUAAAAAUAAUAUAGGUUGUGUGAUAGUAUAUAUAAAACUUGAAUUUUUUUUGUAUGUUACCGUUUGAAGCAAACGGUCGAAAUUAUGGUCGUUGAAUAAAACCACAAGCAAAAUCGCAACGUGACCUUCCGUGUUCACCAUAACGCCUCUUAACAUAACACCUAAUAAUGGCAGGGGGUGUUCCUCCCAUUAUGACACUGUUAUUAGGUGCCAUGUCACCUAUAAGGGGGCUUCCCGUUGCCCACACCCGUCUCUUUUAUAAAAUACUAGGUGAAUGCCCACACGUUGAGCAGAAACACCUAUAUAAUUGAAAUCUUUAUAAAUAUAUGUUUUUUUAAAUAUAACAAUAAAGUUGUUGUUAAAUUUGAUAUAAUAAUUUAUAUACUAAAUUGAUAUAAUAUAUUGAUUAUUUUGAAUUAUAUGCUAAUAUAUACAUCUAUUAUAACUGUAUAAUCUCAACCGUUUGAAUGACUUCUACCCGUCAGCUACUCAUGAAUAAAAUUAAAUAUAAUAUAUGGUUUAAUGUUAUUUAUAGUUGUUGUUAUUUUUAAUUAAUUUUUAAAAUUUAUUUGUUUAACGUUUUAAUUUCUAUCAUUAUAAUUAUUUAAAACAUUAAACAUUGUUUUUUGGUUUUAAAGGUAUCAAUAUAAUAAUAAUUUAUAUAGACUUAUUUUUAACUAUUGUUAUUGUAAGUUAGUUUAAGCUAUUUAUUUGAAAACUUUUAACAAUUAUAAAACUAUCUUUAUGAAAUAUUUUAGUUAAAUUGAGAUUAUAAUUUAGUUUUUGCAUUUAUCACUAUAAUUAUCACUUUUAACUAUUCACUGGGCUGUUUAAGUGGAACUAAAAUUUAUAUUUAAGUUGAUACUGUAAUGUUAUAUUUAAAUUAACAAUUUAAGUAUUUUAUUCAAACUGUUAAAAAGUUGUAGCUUUAAACUGAUAAUGGUUUACAUACAACAACAUAUUAAAUAUAAUAAAUUAAGUAUAAUAUGUUAAAAGUUAAAGAUAUAACUUUAUAAUUAGAAGUAAAAUUAUUAUUUUAAUAUUGAAAUUUAGUUUAUUUAUGAUUACACUUUAAGUUCGAUAUUUAUUUAACCUUAUUAACCAGCUUAUAAUCAUUAUUAGAAAGACACUACAAUUUAUCACUUUUAAUUAUUUACAAAAUAUUCUUUGGGGUUUUUAAGUUAAACUAAAAUUUAUAUUUAAGUUGAUCAUGUAAUGUUAUAUUUAAAUUUAUAAUUUACGUAUUUUAUACAAAUUGCUCAAAAGUUGUAGUUUUAAAAUGAUAAUGAUUUACAUCUAACAUAUAUUAAAACUAAUAAAUUAAGUAUAAUAUGUUAAAAGUUAAAAAACAUAACUUUAUAAGUAAAAGUAAAAAUAUUCUUUUAAUAUUUAAAUUUAGUUUAUAUAUGAUUACAUUUUAGUUUUGAUAUUUAUUUAAUCUUAUUAACUAACUUAUAAUCAUUAUUAGAAAGAAAUUGAAAAGUCAGGGAGUUUCAAAUGAAUGUGGUGAAAGGAAAAAUGUUUCAUUUAUAUAUAUACUAGGCGUAACCUCGCGCGUUGCACAAGAAUGCAUUUAAGUAGUUAAAAUAAUUAUGGGAAAAAAUAAAAAUAUGUUGAAAUUUACAUUUUUAGUCAUGUUUUUAGGCAUUAACCGAAUUAUCAAAUAACAUAAAAAUUCAUCAACUUAUAUUUUGAUACUAUCUAAUAUAGUCUAUAGCUUAUAAAUUUUACUUUUAAUUUUAUAAUAUCCAAUAUAUAUUAUAAGUUUUUGUAUAACAUUCAUAUAAUAUACUUUUCUUAUGUCCGAUAAUAUCUUUUGGAUAAAAUAAGAAAUACGUUGUUUUGAAUGAGCUAUUAAUAAACACUAUUUAACUAAUAAACUUUGUAUUACACUAUUUAUAUUAAACCAAAACAUCCAAGGUUUCAUAUAUGAACUUGAAAAUAUUAUACAUUGAAAUUAAGAAUGAAGUCAUACAAAAUAUAUCAUUAUACAUAAAUGUCAUCAAGAGUUUUAAAAUAAGUCGAUUAGUAAAUAUGAUAUUUAACUUUAAUUACAUAUUUUGCAAAGCGUAUGUUUGACUUUAUGUUGGUGCACCGAGAAUCAUCUUCCUUAAUUUGUACCUAAAAAAUUAAGGUGAAUAGGAAUAUAAAAUAGAUAUUACUAAGCAUUAAUAUAAAUAAUUGAAAAACGUAUAUGGAUCUCCUACCAUCGGUUAAAGACAACAUAUCUCUCUAGUGGUAUCGAUUCCUAUGUGAAAUUGAAGUAGUCAUUCUAUGUACACCUUGUUUUCUAAUUACAUUAACAAAUAUGAGUAACCUAACCUAAAAAUGUUAUCUUUAUGUAAGAAAAAUAUUUUAGUUAACUAACAAAUUAAAUAAUAUAAGUUUAAGCGUUAGGAGUUUCAAAACAUUAAUAUUUUUAUUAAUCAAUCAAUUAAGUAACACAUGUUAAAAUUUUUACAAUCAUUANUAUAUAUAUAUAUAUAUAAAGAGAGAGAGAGGAGAGAGAGAGAGAGAUGGAAAAUAUAACAUAUGCAUGAGUUUUAAUUAAUUAUCUUUUUGAAAAGGUACAAUUACAAAACAAAAAAAACAUAUUUAAAACAUUUAAUUAAGUAUUUUCAGCAUCACCCUAUAUAACAUAUGAUCAAUAUAUUAAUGAUUAAACCAUAAUAUAUAACUAUUGUAUUACAAUAAUCCAAAAACGAAAAAAAUAUAAAGACGAAUUAGUAUAACAAACUUACAAAUUAAAAGCACUAAUAUAAUAGCAUAUCUCCAAAAGUGGUCAUAAGACCUCAAACUAACACAAAAACCUUGAAGUUUGUUUUCUUUUUAAAAUUUGUAUAUGAUUUGUAUCCAUGUCUGCCCAAAAGAUUGGCCUUUUUAUAGUAAACUUUUCACUAAAUGCUAAUUAAACAUAAUAUAAGUUAUAAAACUUUUGAGUGUUAAAUCAUAAUUAAGAAAACUUUUGAGUUGCAUUAGUUUAAAAAGGGGGUUUCAAAUGGAUGGUUUGAGAAAGUUAAAAAAGGGGGUUUCAAAUGCAUGAGAUUCAAGAAAAAAUGCUAGUUUUAUAAGUAUGUAUGAUAUAGAGAUUAAUUUUGGCUCAUAAAAUUCAAUUUCAAUUACUUUAAGUGUAAAUAUCGUAUAAUUUAAUUUAUUUGGUAGAUAAACGGUUUUAUUUGAUUACAUGUUAAAAAAUUGAUUCUAUUUUUUUUUUAUUAUAUCAUUAUGUUAGACAAAUGUAAAUUCCAAUUCAAUGCCCUCUUUGUCGAUUAAUGGAUCAACUCCAAUUUCUCGAACUUGGCUAGAAUUCUCCGUUGCUUUCAUGUCGUCUCCGGUCUCCGUGCUAAUUUCAACAAGUCUAGAGUCUUUGGUUUAGGGGUGGCAGACAAUGAGAUUUCCAGUUGUGCCAGAGUCCUUGGAUGUGAAGUUGCCACCUUCCCUUUUAUUUAUCUUGGUGUUCCUGUGGGGGCCAACAUGGCUCAUAAACGCAACUGGGCUCCGGUUAUGGAUCAAAUUAGUGGUAGAAUUUCUAACUGGAAAUCAAAAAAUUUAUCCUUUGGUGGUAGAUUAAUUUUAGUCAAAUCAGUCCUUGGGAGCAUGCCCCUGUAUUACUUUUCUUUGUUCAAAGCUCCGGCUUCCAUCUUGGAGAACAUUAAAAAAAUUAGACGUCAUUUUCUUUGGGGAGGAUGUGAGGAAAGAAACAAAAUUCAAUGGGUAAAAUGGGAUACUGUCCUAGCUAGUAAAAAGUGCGGUGGCCUCGGUGUUGGUUCUAUGAGGAGUAUCAAUAUUGCUUUACUCUUCAAAUGGUUCUGGAGAAUAAAGUCAGAUAGCACAACACUUUGGAGUCGGGCUAUUUGCGUUAUUCAUAACUCCUUUUCGAAACCGCUAUCUAAUCUUUCUAAUAAGUCUUUUCCAGGCGUUUGGUAUAAUAUUGGUAAAAUUAUGCAAGAUGUUGAAGCUCUAGGCAUCAAUCCUUUGAAGAUUCUCAAGUGUUCGGUGGGCUCUGGUACUAACACUCUCUUUUGGCAUGACUAUUGGCUGGGAGAUGAACCUCUUGCCUCUAAAUUCCCUCACCUGUUGGCCCUUGAUGUGAAAAAAAAUCUAGUUUUGUUUCUGAGAGAAUAUCUGUAAAUGGCUGUGAUGAGAUAUGGUCCACUGGCGUGGCCUAGACUGCUCUAGCGCGCCAGCCUGGCCUGGCGCGCUCCUGCCAGCCUUGCCUGNNNNNNNNNNNNNNNNNNNNNNNNNNNNNNNNNNNNNNNNNNNNNNNNNNNNNNNNNNNNNNNNNNNNNNNNNNNNNNNNNNNNNNNNNNNNNNNNNNNNNNNNNNNNNNNNNNNNNNNNNNNNNNNNNNNNNNNNNNNNNNNNNNNNNNNNNNNNNNNNNNNNNCCUGGCCUGGCGCGCUCCUGCCAACCCUGCCUGGCGUUCCCUUGCCAGCCCUGCCUGGCGUUCCCUUGCCAGCCCUGCCUGGCGCUCCCUUGCCAGCCUUGCUGGGGACUCCCUUGCCAGCCCUGCUAGGGACUCUCCUGCCAGCUCGGCCAGGCGCUCCCUCGCCUGGCACUCCCUUGCCAUCCUCUCCUGGUGCGCGCCCGCCAACCCUGCCCGGCGCCUCUGGGCGGCCUUGCCCAGCUCCUUGCUAGUUGGGCCUGAAUUAGGCUGGCCCAAGGCCUGACCUAAUUGUCCCCUAUAUAAUGAAUAGUACCUCCUCCAUGGAGAGGCACCCUUUCCCUGGACUCUCCCCCAAGUGGUGCUACCACUACUAGACUUCCCCAUGGCUCAGCCGCCACUAUACUCCGGCUGGGUGGCUCAGCCGCCACCCGCCGCCGUCAGCCAUCACUAGCACCAAGAUGGUUCUCUCCAGCUAUGGAGGACCAUCUCAGAUCUUCUAGCUGAUCUAACUUGACCGUUGGAGUCCGCUCCCGGGGCACAGUCCUUGGGGCGGCUCUAACGCGUCUCUAUGAUUGUGAUGUCAGAUCUCCGCCGCAGCAGAAGACCAGAAGACUCGCCGGAGGCUGAUGUUCCAUCAUUUGGCGCCAUCCGUGGGACUCGAACCCACGACCACGUGAGAUCGAGGAGUGGGACAAAUUUCUAUAUUAUUUCUUUAACUGGUCUGUCUCUAAUUCCCGGACUUCUACCUUGGCUACUGAUGGCAGUUUUUAUGUCAAUAAUUUAAGACGUAUUAUCGAUUCUAAAAUCACAUGUGCUGUUGAUAAUCCGAUCAUCUGGACUAAUGAGGUCCCCCGCAAAGUAACUGGUUUUGCUUGGCGCGCAUGUAUGGAUCGCAUUUUUUCUGCGGUGGCCCUUUCUCUCAGAGGAGUCUCCAUUCCCACCUCCUGUAACUUUUGCUCUAAUGGACUCGACUCUACAGAUCACAUUUUGAUUGGCUGCUCGUUCGCUACUGAGGUGCUUCAAUGGACGUUAAAAUGGUGUACUAUUCCAUGGCAGACUUUUGAUUCGGUGAAAGACCUGGUGGGUUUUGCGGCUAAUUGGGGUAGAUGUCCAAAGAAGAGAAGAAUCUUGAUUGCCAUUGUGUACGAUUACCUUUGGUUUGUCUGGAAAGCCAGAAGUGACAUGGUGUUUAAUAAAAGGCAUACCACCCCUACGAAUACGGCGGACCACAUCAUUAUUGAGGUCUAUAAUUGGGUGAACUUUAGGGGCAAUUUUGGUAGAUUUAUUUGGUCGGAUUCGCUUUGUUGUCCUUUUAAAACUAUGUAGUCUUGUUUUGUUUUCUUUUUGCUCCGCCUGUCUCUUAUAGGCUUGUGUUUGUUCAAUUUUAUCUGUUGCUUUUUUAUAAAUCGCGGUUUCAAAAAAAAAAAACAGUAAUGAUUUAUUAGAAAUUUUGCUGCCCCUCCUUUUUACUUUCUUUGACUAAUAGGUAUUGCUUUCUAAUUAGAAAAAGCCUCCAAUAUUGAAACUAUUUCAACGCAUCCACUGUUUUCUAAAAUGACUCUUCUGGUUCGUAAGCUCACCAAUAUUGAAAAUAAAUACCAACGCAUCCACUGCUUUUUAAAACAACUUGUUUUUGGUGGUAAACCCGAAUAUUCUCUCCUUUUCAACGAGGUAUGUCAUUCUCCUUCGCUCCAUUGCCUUUAUCUUACCCUGAAGAGAUACAACAUGACCUUUCCCCGUUUAUACUUAUCCAUAAAAAUGGUCGUAUUGAACGGCUAGUCGGAGAAGAGAUCACCCCUCCAUCAACCGAUUACACCACCGGAGUUCGCUCCAAAGAUGUCCAAAUCUCACCGGAAACAGACCUCUCCGCUAGGAUCUACUUGCCAGGAACUAUUAUCUCCCAAGAGCAUAAACUCCCUGUCCUUAUUUAUUUCCACGGUGGUGGUUUCCUUUUCGGAACAGCCUUCAGUACUAUGUUCCAGCCCUUCCAUAACAGGCUUGCUUUGGAAGCACAAACCAUCAUCGUUUCUGUUGAUUACAGAAGAGCCCCCGAACAUCUCUAUCCAACUCAAUAUGAUGAUUCUUGGGAAGCCAUCAAAUGGGUUGCUUCUCAUGCAAAUAGAAACGGUUCGGAGCCAUGGCUUAAUGACUAUGCUGAUUUUGAACGUCUGUUCUUUGGUGGGGAAAGUGCUGGUGGAAACAUAGCUCACCAAAUGGGGAUGAGGAUUGGGUUAGGAAAAGACUUGGAUGCUUUUGGUGAUCGAGUGAAGCUUUCUGGGAUUGUCCUGAUCGAUCCACACUUCUGGGGAGAAACUCUAAUUGGUGGUGAGGUGAAUGCUGAUGUUAAGGAAAUAAAUAUCUUGGAAAAACUCUGGCGAGUGAUGAACCCAUCGUUAAGCAGUUUUGAUGAUCCGUUGAUAAACCCGGCAAAAGAUCCGAAUCUUUCGAAGUUAGGGUGUCGAAGGGUACUUGUUUCUGUGGCUGAGAAAGAUUUGUUGAGGGAUAGAGGAUGGUAUUAUCAUGAUGUUCUGGUGAACAGUGCAUGGAAUGGGCAAGUUGAUAUAAUUGAAGCCAAAGGAGAGGGACAUGUCUUCCAUUUGUAUCCACCUUUCCGUGAAAACGCUUUAACUUUGUUCAAGACUUUGUUUUCUUUCAUCAACGGGGACAACUACAUAGAUGUACACAAUAGUGGUUAAAACGUAUGCUUUUCAAUGUUUUUCAUGCUAAUAAAGAAAUACUAAAUACUAAAUAAA
Molecule: long non-coding RNA, 65230 nt
Filed under: Lactuca sativa (garden lettuce)
Lineage: Eukaryota; Viridiplantae; Streptophyta; Magnoliopsida; Asterales; Asteraceae
Description: long non-coding RNA (LSAT_LNC000723)
Source: RNAcentral